Molecule: long non-coding RNA, 72882 nt
Filed under: Capsicum annuum
Lineage: Eukaryota; Viridiplantae; Streptophyta; Magnoliopsida; Solanales; Solanaceae
Description: long non-coding RNA (CANN_LNC008058)
Source: RNAcentral
UUCGAGAUAGGUGUAUUGACUAUUCUAGAUACUUGAGUUAUAUUUCUAUUUUUAAAUGCUCUUAUACUGGCUCUACCAGGUUAUGGGAUGGUAUUUAUGUAGUGAUUACUUUUAAACUAUUUCUAUUUUUUUGCUUAUUUAUUGUGUUGGAUUGCCUAUUAGGCCCUAUAGGGGCAUUCCCACCAAGUUAACCCAUUGUGUUUAACUUCGGAUUACGGUUUGGCUUACCUACUGGCGGGAUAGAGUAUGUUCCAUCAUGACUCAUAAAUCAGGUCGUGACACGUUAUUUUCUGAAAGUAAAUCAUUUUAUCUUGAGAGGAAAGAUUCCAUUAACCUCUGGUACUUGAGGGGAAUAAAUUCCUUAAGGACACACACUGAAUUCAGUUGACUUGAUUCUAAAAAAAUUUCUAUUUCAUAUUCAUUUCUUAAGUUGGUUUUACUAUUUUUCUAAAAAUAGUAGAAACUUCAUUUUGAUAGUUUAUUUGAUCAUUCAUUUGAACUUGUGUUUGAAGUUGUUGAACUCCAUUAUAGUUCUUGAAGUUGUUUUUGAACUUAGUGUUGAAGUUCAUAUUGUUACAUAUAUAAAUUUUUUUCCAAAAAUAACAAAUUUUAUUAUGGUCAAGUGACUUGGAAGAUGCUUAUGAACUAACUAAUUGAACCAUUGUGUCAAAUUCAUAUUUUAUUGAUAUUAAUCCAUACUUUUAGGGUCUGAAUAUACUUGGUCAAUUAAUCUAAGGGAUAAUAGUCUGAAAAAUACAUGUACUUUGCCUAAAUUUGUAGUUGCGCAUACUGAACUUUGUAGGGGUCUUAUUACCCCCUGAACAUUUUUAAAAUAGAAUAUAUACCCGUUGAAAAGCUCAUAACCAUAUUUUAUUUCAAGUAGUGACCUGCACGCACUGCCACAUAAUGCCACAUCAUGCCACGUAAUUUCACGUAAUAUUACUUUUUUAAUAUAAAAAAUUAAUUACUUUUAUUUAUUAUAUUUUCUUCUUUUUAUUUUUUUUAAAUUUACUUUUUCAUUUCAUUCUCUUUUUUUAUACCCUGUUCUCAUCUUUUUUUUUUUAACUUCUCCAUAUUAUUACUUUUUUCAGCGAUGAACACAAAGUAUAGAGGAAGCCUCCGACGGAAAGCAUCUCUCAGCUUUAUUUUUUAUAGAUAAGAGAUUUUUUCUUUAUUCUUUGGUUAUGGGGGAGUGAAAUCCUAGAAAUUGUAGUGCGUGUGAAUAUGGGGAUUAGAGUUGUUGAGUUGUGAAAUCGAAGAUUGUUUGAUUGGUACUUUGUGUGGUAAAGUAGAGAGAAUGUCUUUAUUAAGUAGAGAAUUGGUAGUUGGAGUGUGUAGUUGUUAUUUUCUUUUCAUUUUUGGGUCAAAAUUUUUUGGAAGGAAAACACAUUAGGAUGAUUAGAUUGAGGGAUUAAUAAGAAAUUACUAGAAUUUAAAUGGGGCUUGCAAGUGAAAGGUUAGAUUUGAGGUAAAGCCAUGGAAGAAUAAAAAUGGGUUCUUGAAAAUUUGAACAUUGAUGAAUAGAGAAAAGAAAAUUAAAAUAAAAAAUAAUCAAAAGCUUACGUGACAAAUGUGUUAUGGUGAAAGAGAGUGAGAAAAAAGAAAAUGAAAUUGAUGAGACUCAUUGGAAAUGAGAAAGAUGUGAGAUUAAUUUUAGACACCAUUGAUGAAUUUUGAAGCUUUUUAGUUUUGUAAGAGAAGAAGAAGAAGAAGAUGAAAAAAAUUGAAUAAAGUAAAAUAAUAAUUGAAAUUAUAUAUAUUUAUGUAAAGAAAUAUUAAAAAUAAAUUUUUAAUAUAUAAUUUUCCUUCUCACUCUCUCAAAGAGAGUGAAAUACACUCACUUUGCCACCUCAGCAUUUGGAGAGAAAAUAAUUUCAUUUUAAAAAUGUGCAGGGGGUCAUAGGACCCCUGCAAAGUUCAGUAUGCGCAACUACAAAUUUAGGCAAAGUACAAGUAUUUUUCGGACUAUUAUCCCUUAAUCUAAUAAUAAAAAUCAUAUAUAAUAAUUUCAGGUACUAAAACUUUUAUUUCUCAUAAUUAAGAAGGUACUCCUAUGCCUUAUUAUUUUUCAUAGUUAUCCAUAUUUAAAUAAGUGUAUUUUUAUUUAAUAAAAAAAUUAUUUUAAAUAGGUACUAUUUAAUCAUGGAUAAUUUAAUAAAAAAACACCUCUUACUUUUUAGAGGUAGGUCAAUUUCUUAAGGGCGUAAUCAAGUUAAAAGCACCAUAAUAAUAUUGACCAAAGAGGGAGUAUAAUUCAAACAUUAGAGAAAAUUAAUUUUUACAAUUUUUGUUAUUUUUAAAGCACGCACAUCUAGUGCAUUAAAGUUUAAAGAUUUAGAAAAAGAAAAAUGGAUGACACUAUGAACAGAUUAAUUAGUAGGCAAUCAAGACAAUUAAUUUAAAAUAUUUGACAUAAUUGAUAUUCAAUUUGAGAUGAUCAACGUGACCUGAAAACAGAAAACAAAAUAAAAGGAAGAUUUUUGAGGAAAAAUUAUAAACAUAUCAAUAAUUAUUAGUCAAUAUAAAAAUAUUUACAUAGUUAAUGCUUUGAUCCUGUGUUUUUUGUGCUAUAUAUAUUAGCUACUAUAGUUGCCUACAUAAUAUCAUAGCUCUAGUAAAAAUAUAUACAACAAAUCAUCUAAGCAACAUAACAUGGAAAAGGCUUCAAGGAAAUUGCUCUUCUUUAUCACUUUUUGGCUUGUUGCAACAGGUUUGCUCUCUCAAAUAAAAAAUCAUAUGCCUGAAACUUCAUUAUCCUUCUUGCCUUUCCUCGUCUAAUGUGUUCCCUUUUGAUGAAUACCUUAGUCGUAUCGGUUAAAAAAAUUUCUUGUAUAUCAUAUAUGCUUAAAUUUUACCUCUUUUUUGUUACAUUAUUUGUUAUAGGAUGAUGACUCCAGAUUUAAAACAAAAAUAGUAAAUUAUUUUUCAUUCAGCUUCGUGCACUUUAGAACUGUAGAAAGUAAUUUGAUAUUUUUUGUGUGAUAACUUGCAGGGUUUUAUUUGAUGGAUGGAAUUGCAGAAGCAAGAAGUUCAACCCCAGGACCACAUACAUGUACAGCUGAUAAAGAUUGCCAACCAUACUGUUCAUUUUUUAAUGCUGGCACUGGUGUUUGUGUUAAAAACUUGUGUAAUUGUCAUAAAAACUCAAACACCCUAAUGCAUGAGGAGAAUAAAGACAGCACAAUUGAGAAGGCGCAAAUAACUACAUAGAAAAGAGAAGAAGAAAAGCUAUAGAAUUUUCUUUAAACUCGUAUUGCACAUUUAAAGAUGUAAUAGAUAUUGUGCUAGUAAAAAUCAGUCAGAGGUAACCGGUUCUAUGCACGGGCCAAAUAUUAUUGACCCUCCAAGUCAAUAUUAUUUUCUCUCAUAUUACUUGGCUCUAUAUUUAAAUUGAUAUUUCAUUUUACUUGUCCUAUUUAGGAAAAAAGAUCAAGUGAGUUUUAUUUUAUUUUUCCCAUUCUACCCUUAACAUGAGUUUUACCCUUAAUACCCUUCUACUUUAAAAAAUUGACCAACUUUAUUCGCAGUCAUACUUUGGAGGUCAUAUUUACCCCUGCUGUUAAGGAAGUUAUCAAAAAUAUUCCUUUUUCUAACACUUUUUUACCGUGGCAAGAUCAUAGCCAUGUAGCAUAACAUUUGAAGUGAGAUGAAUGCCACGUGGCAUGCCACCUCAGCAUUAGACCUUUUUUCUAAUUUCUAAUUUUUUCCUUUAAAUUUUAUUAUUUAAGUUUAUUAAUUUUUUUAGAAGAUAUUCAAAACAACCAGCUUAAGUUGAAGCUUGCCUGAAACCACAAUAUAGGAGUGCUUGAGCUUCACUAGUGUAGUUGGUUGAGAACUGGAGAAGUAAAUACAGAGUAGGAUACAUUUUUCAUGUAAUUACGGAAUAAAUUGUCUUUCAGGGCAAAUUAUGGGUCAUUUGUGCUUGUGAUAUGAUAAUUACAUUAUCCCUUUCUUCAAGUUGCACCCUUUAUUUCAUCUAUUGAGCAGUGAUAUUACAAUGAAGGAGCAACAGUGUUGCUCAUAAGGGUAAAGUGCUAAAAUGAAAAACGAUUUCAAUUGGACUAUGUCAGUAGCUUUUGUAUAUCAUUUUUAGGAACAUUACAAUCUUGUGAUAUGCUAGUGUUAUUAAAAGUCAUCGGUUUCUCGCUUAAAGCAUGAAAUGAACGGUUAUAGUUUCAUGAGUAAACUCUCUUGACCCAUUCAAAGAACUGUGUGCUUCAAAGAAUGACUCUCGAAGUAAUUUCGAUGAGAAGCAUCCAGUUAUUUGCAUAUCAACUUAGAGAAAUUCGAUUAAUACAGACACUAUCGCGUACUGGACUCUGCAAUUCAUUAUGCUAAUUGAUUAUUAUUGUACCAAAUUCAUCCGUGCUUCAUAAUUUUAAAUUUGUGAAUUGUAAAUUUCAUUUCUAGAAAAUGUAAAUUUCAUUUUUCACUUUUCGCCCAAUCCUCAUGAACCUUUUUUUAAAAUUGUUUUUCUCUUUGAAAGAUGUUGAGAUAUGCUUAAAUUGUUUUAGAAAAUGAUUUUUUUAAAAUUAAUAAAAUUAAAUAAUUUAUAAAAAUUAAAGAAAAAAAUUAAAAUGAAAAAAAAAAGUCUAAUGCUGAGGUGGUAUGCCAUGUGGCAUCCACCUCACUCCAAAUGUCAUGUCACGUGGCUAUGAUUUUGUCAUGGUGAAAAAGUGUUAAAAGGAGGGGUAUUUUUGAUAAUUUUAUUAACAGCAAGAGUAAAUAUGACCCUAAAGUAUGAGUGAGGAUAAAGUUGAUCAAUUUUUUAAAAUAGAGGAAUAUUUUUUACCCUUUUUUUUCAAAAUUAUUUAAAGAUCAUAAGAUCAAAAAAAAUAUAUUUUUUUAAACUUUCUGUUAAAUCAAAUAUGAUAAACAAAUUAAAACAAAAAGUAAUAUCGAACUCAAAGAGUAAUAUAGGACUCCUUUUUCUUGUCCUUUUUUUUUUCACUUUAUACAACUAAACUUGCAUCGUGCCACAAGAAAACUAAAGCCAAACCCAUAAAAGCCACAAGAAAACUAAAGCCAAAACCAAAGCCAAAGCCAAUAAAUUGGAAGUGAAAAAUGCAAUUGAGAGUUACGUGGGUAAAAUUGGGUGGACCAACUUUUAUAUAAUCCUUGAGAACUACUGUCAUGAAAUAUUGCGGAACACAAACUUUAAGUGCCUUCAGCCAAAAAAAAGAGACGCUUGUGUGGAGCUCAUAGUUUGUAGCACCUUUUUUUAGUUGCGACUGAUGAGAGAUCACGUUUAGGGUGUGUUUGGUGCGAAGGAAAAUGUUUUUCAUGCAAAAUAUUUUUCUACAAAAUAUUUUUCAUGAAAAAUAUUUUUUGGGAAAAUAAGUUGAUUUCUUACUUGUUUUCUUAUGUUUGGUUGGUGGAUGAAAAAUAUUUUUCGAAAAAUAUUUUCUAGUAUUUGGUUGGUGAAUGAAAAAAUAUUUUUACAAAAAAUACAUUUUAGUGUUUAGCUAAAGUUUAAAAAUACACUUUAGAAUCCUUUGAAAAAAAAACUAAAUCAUUUUUUGGGAAGGGGGUUGGUAGGUGGGUGGGUGGAGGUGUCAGAAUAGGUAGUAAGGGUGGGGGUAAGAAAAAAUUUUAAAUUUCUUUGGUUAAAAAGAAAAGAUUUAAAAAUUGGCGGGACUAUGUCAGUAGCUUUUGUAUAUCAUUUUUAGGAACAUUACAAUCUUGUGAUAUGCUAGUGUUAUUAAAAGUCAUCGGUUUCUCGCUUAAAGCAUGAAAUGAACGGUUAUAGUUUCAUGAGUAAACUCUCUUGACCCAUUCAAAGAACUGUGUGCUUCAAAGAAUGACUCUCGAAGUAAUUUCGAUGAGAAGCAUCCAGUUAUUUGCAUAUCAACUUAGAGAAAUUCGAUUAAUACAGACACUAUCGCGUACUGGACUCUGCAAUUCAUUAUGCUAAUUGAUUAUUAUUGUACCAAAUUCAUCCGUGCUUCAUAAUUUUAAAUUUGUGAAUUGUAAAUUUCAUUUCUAGAAAAUGUAAAUUUCAUUUUUCACUUUUCGCCCAAUCCUCAUGAACCUUUUUUUAAAAUUGUUUUUCUCUUUGAAAGAUGUUGAGAUAUGCUUAAAUUGUUUUAGAAAAUGAUUUUUUUAAAAUUAAUAAAAUUAAAUAAUUUAUAAAAAUUAAAGAAAAAAAUUAAAAUGAAAAAAAAAAGUCUAAUGCUGAGGUGGUAUGCCAUGUGGCAUCCACCUCACUCCAAAUGUCAUGUCACGUGGCUAUGAUUUUGUCAUGGUGAAAAAGUGUUAAAAGGAGGGGUAUUUUUGAUAAUUUUAUUAACAGCAAGAGUAAAUAUGACCCUAAAGUAUGAGUGAGGAUAAAGUUGAUCAAUUUUUUAAAAUAGAGGAAUAUUUUUUACCCUUUUUUUUCAAAAUUAUUUAAAGAUCAUAAGAUCAAAAAAAAUAUAUUUUUUUAAACUUUCUGUUAAAUCAAAUAUGAUAAACAAAUUAAAACAAAAAGUAAUAUCGAACUCAAAGAGUAAUAUAGGACUCCUUUUUCUUGUCCUUUUUUUUUUCACUUUAUACAACUAAACUUGCAUCGUGCCACAAGAAAACUAAAGCCAAACCCAUAAAAGCCACAAGAAAACUAAAGCCAAAACCAAAGCCAAAGCCAAUAAAUUGGAAGUGAAAAAUGCAAUUGAGAGUUACGUGGGUAAAAUUGGGUGGACCAACUUUUAUAUAAUCCUUGAGAACUACUGUCAUGAAAUAUUGCGGAACACAAACUUUAAGUGCCUUCAGCCAAAAAAAAGAGACGCUUGUGUGGAGCUCAUAGUUUGUAGCACCUUUUUUUAGUUGCGACUGAUGAGAGAUCACGUUUAGGGUGUGUUUGGUGCGAAGGAAAAUGUUUUUCAUGCAAAAUAUUUUUCUACAAAAUAUUUUUCAUGAAAAAUAUUUUUUGGGAAAAUAAGUUGAUUUCUUACUUGUUUUCUUAUGUUUGGUUGGUGGAUGAAAAAUAUUUUUCGAAAAAUAUUUUCUAGUAUUUGGUUGGUGAAUGAAAAAAUAUUUUUACAAAAAAUACAUUUUAGUGUUUAGCUAAAGUUUAAAAAUACACUUUAGAAUCCUUUGAAAAAAAAACUAAAUCAUUUUUUGGGAAGGGGGUUGGUAGGUGGGUGGGUGGAGGUGUCAGAAUAGGUAGUAAGGGUGGGGGUAAGAAAAAAUUUUAAAUUUCUUUGGUUAAAAAGAAAAGAUUUAAAAAUUGGCGNNNNNNNNNNNNNNNNNNNNNNNNNNNNNNNNNNNNNNNNNNNNNNNNNNNNNNNNNNNNNNNNNNNNNNNNNNNNNNNNNNNNNNNNNNNNNNNNNNNNNNNNNNNNNNNNNNNNNNNNNNNNNNNNNNNNNNNNNNNNNNNNNNNNNNNNNNNNNNNNNNNNNNNNNNNNNNNNNNNNNNNNNNNNNNNNNNNNNNNNNNNNNNNNNNNNNNNNNNNNNNNNNNNNNNNNNNNNNNNNNNNNNNNNNNNNNNNNNNNNNNNNNNNNNNNNNNNNNNUAUUGGGGGCGAGGGCAGGGUAGAUGAUUUUGAGAAUUGUAUGAACAUUUCAACUUUAAAGUAGGUUGAAAGAAAGUUUUGGAAAACAUUUUCCUUUCUUUUUGAAGGAAAGUUAUUUUUCUUAGAUUUAAGAAAAAUAAGUUGGUUUGAAAAACAUUUUGCAAAACAUAUAAGUCAAUCAAACAUAAGAAAAUUGAAAAACAUUUUCUGAAAAAUAUUUUUCUUCAUACCAAACACACUCUGUGCCUCUUAAAGAAAUUGUUGUGAUUAUCAAAAGAAAAGUACAUUACCAAGUGCUUAAGGGGUCGUUUGGUAGAGUGUAUUGAAAAAUAUAAUGCAUGCAUUAGUUAAUGUGUACUACUAGUACCUUGUUUGGUAUAAUUUUUUGCCUAUGUAUAACUAAUGGUUGCAUUAGUUAUACACUCUAUUGUGUAUUGGAGUGUGUAUUAAUAAUACACUCCAUUUCCUAUGUAUUAGUAAUACAAUGUCUUUUAACACAUGUAUUAACUUAUUAAAUGACCUUAAUACCCCUCAACUUUUCUCUCAAAAUAUUUCACCAUUCCAUUUCCCGCCAUUUUAAUUUGUAAUAGUGGAUCUUUUUAAAAUAUUUCACAAUUUCUUUUUCCACCAUUUUAAUCUACAACAAUGAAUAGUUUAUUUAAAUAAUUAUAACAUAUUUUUGUUUUGCUUCAAGGGUCUUUAAAAAGAUUAAAAAAAAAAUGAGACUAUUUCUUAAUUUUACGUCUUUUAUUUUAUUUUUUUCGACUAUGUUAAUCCGUUGGCGUAAUAUUUCAUGCGCAAAAACGAAGGUCUUGCAAUUAAUCUGAAACCUCUAUAUACUAGUUCAACAAUACUAAUUAUGUUUGAGAUGACAAAAAAUAUUUAUUGCAAAAAAAUGUAUAAAAUUAUAGAAGGGUAUUUUUGUAAACAAACGUUUCUUUUAUAAAUUUUAUGUAAGAUGUAUUAUUUCUUAUACAUCAAACCAAACAAUGUAUAUAAAAUAAUACAUGCAUAACUAAUGCAAGCAUAACUAAUACAUGCAUUAUUAAUGCAAGCAUUAUUAAUACACUAUAUUUUGCAUUGUUCUUACACACUCUAUCAAACGACCCCUAAAUGUACAGAUUAAUACUGCAAGCACUAUAGUAAAAUUCUAAAAUCCCCUGGACGAGAGUUUUAUAGAGAGUUCAAUUCUCUCUUCUAUAUAAGUAGUAAAGUAAAAUAAACAUAAAAAUUUGAGAAGAGAGAUAUUGGAGAGGAAGUUGAAUUUAUUUUUGGAUUAAAUGUUUGUAAAUUGUCAAAGAAAAAAGAAAAUAGAAAAUGUAAACAUAAAAAUUUAAUAGUGAGGUGACAUGUCACCGUCCACAUGACGCCAGUCUCAUCCAAAUAUUAGUCACAUUAGCUUUUAAAAGAUUAUGAUGAACAACAAUUAAAAAAAGGGGUUUUUUGUUAUAGACUAUAUUUGACUCUACAGUAUAACUAGAGGUUAACUAUUAAACAAAAGUAAAAAGGUAAUUUUGAUCAUUUUCCCUUUAAAUUAAAAUGAUAACAAUAAGUUAAAAGCCAUAAAUUAAAAUAUGAAUUUAUUACUUUCGGCUUAUAAGCAAAAGGGCUAACUUGGAGAGAGGUCAUAUUUGUGCACUGUCAAAGUUUUGCUUUCUGUGUUAAAACGACGUCAUUUUUAUUAUUAUUAUUAUUAUUAUUAUUAUUAUUAUUGUUGUUGUUGUUGUUGUUAUUAUUAUUAUUAUUAUUAUUAUAAUAAUUUUAUUUAUUUCUAUAGUAGCAGCACCUAAAUUUNNNNNNNNNNNNNNNNNNNNNNNNNNNNNNNNNNNNNNNNNNNNNNNNNNNNNNNNNNNNNNNNNNNNNNNNNNNNNNNNNNNNNNNNNNNNNNNNNNNNNNNNNNNNNNNNNNNNNNNNNNNNNNNNNNNNNNNNNNNNNNNNNNNNNNNNNNNNNNNNNNNNNNNNNNNNNNNNNNNNNNNNNNNNNNNNNNNNNNNNNNNNNNNNNNNNNNNNNNNNNNNNNNNNNNNNNNNNNNNNNNNNNNNNNNNNNNNNNNNNNNNNNNNNNNNNNNNNNUUUAAUUUAAUAUUUAAAUAAAUAAUAUUUAGAUAUAUUAUAUAACUUAAAUUUGUCCUCUUCUUUAUAAUAUAUAUACAUACCCGCUCAAUUUUUUUGUAUGAGGCUGACCCACCUAAUUAACAAAUCUUCAAUAUUUCUCUUUUUCUGCAAUGACAAAAUAAAUUAGAUGCCAUUUUCAUCUUUGAGCCAAAAAUAAUGAAAAAAUAAUAGUGAAGAGUCAUUUAAAGGUCAUAUUUGUGCACUGUCAAAGUUUAAGGUCAUAUUUAUGUAUUAUGCCCUUAGAUUUUAAGCUGGACGUGCCCAGUUUUACGUGUUGAACACACGUUUUGCCACGUAGGAUUGGAGUUCAUAUUUAUGUAGUUUUGAAUAGUUAAAGGUCAUAUUUGUGCACUGUCAAAGUUUAAGGUCAAAGUUAUAAUUUGAUGUCAAGUUUAGGGUCAUUUUUAUGUAUUUACUCUUUGAAAUUUUAUACAUAUCUCUUGUAUUUGAAUUCAUCAAAUCUCAUCGACAAGUACCUCAACUUGGCAUUAUCUUUUACUUUGGUACCUCAAGUGGACGAUAUUCAUUUUAGGCACCUCAAUUAGCGUACGGGUGUGUCAUUUUGACAUUUUUUGCAUAGGUGACAACUUGCGUGUUUUUCACCCAUUUCAGACGCGUGAUUACAUUUUUUAUCUGAUAUGACAUCCAACUUGAUCAUAAUAAUAAUAUUUAAUUGCUUCCAUUUAUUUAUACCCUUUCUUUAAUUUUUAAAAACAUCAAUUUUGCUCAAAUUUUAUUAAAAUUAUUUUUUCUGAUAAUAUUUAUCAACUUUCUUUUUUUGGUUAGAAAAUAUAAGUUUGAAAAAAUAGAUGGGGGAAAAUGAUUGUUGAAAAUUUUCAGUGAAAUAAAUGAAAAACAACUGCCCAUCUUUCUCAGUGAUAUCAAUUUAGCAGAGAACACUUUCGAGCAAAGUGCAUUAUUAAUAGCACAUAGUCGAUACAAAAAAUUUCUGCAUUUUAUUAUCAUCGAAUCUAAAAUUUCAUUAAGGUCAAGAGCAAAAGAUUUGUCAAUAUAAAGUUUCGAAAAUUAAAAAUUUAUCAGCAAAUUAAGCGAAGACUAGUACUGUAAUGUUUAUCAACUUAAAUUGAAAGUAAAUUUCUUUUUAUUGGUGAUGAAGGUAAACUUUCUCCUCACUGGUUAUCUCCAUUGAUGUUAGAAGUUUUUCAUCAACUUAAGAGUAAUUGUCUUUGCUAAGUUAAAAAUUGAUUAAAAUUAAAUUAAGUUGGUGAGAAUAAAUUUGUUCAUUUCAAUGGCCAUUGAUGUGUAUUUUGAAGAAGAAGAUUUGGAGGUGAGAGUGGGGUUGCUGGGGUAUUUUGGAGAAGAUGAUUGGGGGUAGGGGUUGGGGUGUUUGGAGACGGUGAUUUGAGUGGGUGGGAGGGGAUUCGGGUGUUUCGGAGAAGAUGAUUUUGAGGGCAGCUGAGGUAUUUGGAGAAAGUUAUUUAAGUGGGGGUGGGUGGGGAGGGAAUCGGAGUGGUUGGGAUGUUUUGGAGAAGAUGAUUUAGAAGGAGGGUUGGGGUGAAGAAGAUGAUUGUGGGUUGGGGGAUACUUGGAGAAGAUUAGGGGCAUUUACUUAUUGAUUUUUUUUAGAAAAAUAAGUUAAUUAGUUAAAAAUAAAUUUUUUAAUUAUGAUUUAUUUAAAACUAUUAUUUUAUCCAAAAAGUGCCACGUAUUUUUUUUUAAUUGGCCACAUGCCAUGUCAGCAACAUGUGUAUUAUACAUACUUUAUAAUUUUAGCUGAUUGUAAAAAAAGUGUCAAGAUGACACAAUUAAUAGCUGGUUCAGGUGUUUAAAAUGAACAUCAUCCGCUUGAGGUGUCAAAGUGAAAGAUGAUGUCAAGUUGAGGUACCGGUCGAUGGGUUGGCCUAUUAUUGAACAUGCAUAUUCAUUUAUCUCAUAGAUCACUGUAUGAAACUAUUGAGAAAAUAUUAUUUUAUUUUUUUAGAAAAAUGAACCACCUUUUAUUAAUUAGGUUUGAUUCGUAUUUCAAAUGGUAAGAUAUGAUACUACUUAUUGAUUCAGUCUGAUAUGUAUUAUGAAUGGUGAGAUAUGAUACUCUUGAGUGAUUUAGUACGAGACAUAUUUUGAAUGAGGUAUAUAAACCUCACAAGUUUCAAAUAGGUCCCACCUUGCACACACAAUAGGUUUCAAAUAGGUCCCACCUUACACACACCAUUAGAGGGGGUGUACAGAGGUAGACAUUGUCCAUUGAAUAUCAUUCAUAUCAUUGCAUUUAAUCAAUUUUGAAUUAUUAUUAUAUUUGAGAUGAUUCUGCAAAAUUAUUGAUAUAAAAUUACUAGGGUUUUCAAUGUGCAUGAUUAUUUUAAUAUUCUUUAUUCGAUAUAGUAUUUGCUUAAGCUUAGUCAGCUUAUGAUACCAAUUGAGUACUAGUAGUUGUACACAAUCCUAAUUUUCUACAAUCUUCUAAUGUAGAUCCUGGUAUGACUGAUCUUCGUGGUUUAUUAUUAUGUAUUCCAAUAGUAUCUAAGGGUGUGGUGAGCUUAUCUGAUCAAAUAUAAUCUCAGUUUCAUCUAUUUUUUAUUUUUUUCUUAUUUUCUUUCUUAGACAUUUGUAUUUUGAUUCGUUAUUCUGCAUUAGAGUCGCUUUUGUACUUAUGACAGUUGAAUCUUGGCGAUUUUGAAUUUCUUGUUUAGCUGCACUUGAAUUUAUCUUUGAGUUAUUAUGAUCAUUAUUAAUGUGUAUGUAUGUGCUUACUGGCGCCUUUACUUCAAGUGUAUUGAAUUGGUGAGUCGGACUUAACUACCAUGGAUACAUUGAGGUAGGUUCUGUCACAAACCUUAUGAUUUCUCGAUCAUGACAUAUAUGAAUUCAUUUACUCCAUCACAUCGCAUAAAGAUGGAUCCCAACUGAGGUUGGGGUAAAUAUUAGAUUUCUUAACAUUAGGGAAAGGAAUGAUUAACAACUAAAACUGAUAUGUGGAAUGAAUUAUCUAGAUUCUUGUAGAAAAUAUGAACUCAAAGUUCAAGAGAUAAUUCAUUUUAAAGGUAUUGCAAACUAAUGUAAGAUGUUUUACUGGUCGUAUUUUAUAACUCAAUUAUAAAUUCUUCAAUCAGAAGUCUUUAAAGAAUCAAGUCUAUCACACGCCUGAAGUGUGAUAGAUUAAUUGAUUUCAAAGAUAAAAUUUCUUGGAGAAGGAGAGAAGCAAAUGAUCAAGAUGAUGAUGAUAAUGAGAAAAGUGUUUUGGAAGAGCAUCACGAUAUAACACUUUAUAAAAUCUUAGCAAAAAUCUACUUACCUGAAAAUGAUGAAUAUGAAAAGAUCUUGAUAAAUGAUAUCUGACUGAAAAUCGAUAUCAAAUGAACGUCAAUCCUACCUUUGAUAUAAUAUAGUGCUUAUUAUUAUAAAUGAUAGUGACAAUCUUGAAUUCGAAUCUAUCAAACAGUGUGGACAGAUACAUGAUUUUCCAUAUAUAAAUUACGUAAUUCAAGUAUUAUUGUUUCACAUAAAAGAGUGAAUAUUUUAAUUUAUAUUCAAAAACUAGGAAUAAUAUCAGUGGUGUAUAAAUGAUUUUUUGUGCGAAAAUAAAAUUAUAAGUAAAAUUGUUGAUAUAAAUAUGAUUUAUGCCUUGGGACAUAAACGCUUUUCAUAAAAUUCCUGCAUUAUUUUAUGAAAAUGCAUUCACCAUGUUUUUUUCAAUAUAGCAAUACAUGAAAAGUUUGAAUACGUACAAUGAAUGACUAUCAUUUCUAGCUUGAUGAUAAAGGUUAUACAGAAAUCUUUGAAAGAUUUAAAAGGGAAGUGAUUUCAUUGAGUACCCACUGACGAUGAGAUCACUUAAUAUAAAGAAAGAUCAAAUUCGAUCUGAUGAAAAUGAUUAAAAAAAUUAUAACAUAUUAGUGUAGUUGCUGCACUUAUGUAUUAGGGAAUAUUAUUACAAGAAUAAAGUGAUGUUUUAAUCAGUGUGAGUAUUAUACGCGUUGUAGUUUUUGUCUUUGAUGAGAUUUUGUCCCAUUAAAUUUCUUGACAAGGUUUUUAAUGAGGCAACUAACAAUAUGUAUUACUAAACAUGUCUUCUAUUUAACAGAUGAAGUGUUUAUCCAUCAAUCAACAUACGCUAAUAAGAGUUUAAAGCAGUUUUACAUAGAUAUAAAUCACAUCCAUAUUUGAGUUCCCAAUGAUUGUGAGAUUGCUCGAUUUAAACAAAAAUCUGUUUUGACCUAAAAGUUUCUUGAUGAUUAAGCUUCACAUCAUAGUGCUAUUAGGAACUAAUGUAUCAUGCCAACAAUAUCCGAUUAAAUAUUUAUUUUGUAAUAAAUUUAUUGGUGAAAUCUAGCUUCUCUCCAACAAAAAGACAUUGAAAAUAUGUUAUAACAUAAAUUCAAAUAUCUUGAGGGAACAAUUGAUAUGAGAUUAUUUUAUUCUAAUACAUCUAAGUUAAACAUGAUCUUGUGUAGAUGGAGGAUAUUUAUCUAAUCAACAUAAAUCUUGAUCUUAAACAGACUAUUUAUUCACACAUGGAGGUAUAACUAUAUCAUGGUAUUCAAUAAAGAAAAAAUAAUUGUCAUUUAUUCAAAUCAUUACAGAAAUAAUUGCCAUUCAUUAAGCCAGCUGAGAGUGGGUAUGAUUGAGAUCAAUGGAUCGAUAUAUUUUACUAUUAUGUAGCCUUUAUUUGCAACUAAAGAUUUCAAUAAUAUAUUAUGAAGAUAAUGUUGCAUGCAUAGCUCAAUUGAAGGAAUGAUACAUCAAACGAGAACGAAUAAAGUAUAUUUCAACGAAGAUAUUUUUCACACAUAAUCUUCAUCAAAAUGUUGAAGUAAAUGUUCUACUAAUUAUCUCGAAGAUUUAUUCACUUAAAUAUUUCCAACAUCAACAUUUGUGAAACUAAGAUAUAAAAUUGGAAUGCAUCGUUGCAUUGUCUCUAUGAUAUCAAGUAAAGUUUUCAUUAGGGGAAUUAAAAUGUACAUUGUAAUUUUUUCCCUUAAUCAAAGUCGUUCCAAUAAAUUUUCAUAGCAAGGAUUUUAUGAGGCAACACUCAAGGGUUGUUACAAGAUUUCAAAUAAUAUUUUAACGAGACACAUUAUCUAUAAAUAUUUAAGAAAAAUAUUAUAGAUUCAUUUAAUAAUGAAUGUUUCAUUCAGUGAACUUUUGGAAUAGAUAAAUCUAAUUAAUGUAUCUCUUGAAGUUUAUAAAACUAACGGAUGAUUUAUAUUCAUAUAAAACGAUAUCUUUUACUUUUGUAAAACACACACCACAGUAAGGAAAAAAGAAAUAUCUUUCAUAUCUCGUCUUUAUUUUUGUUUUAUAUUAUUCAUAUAUUGCUUAUAUUUUAUAAUAAAAUAAAUUAAAAUGAAAAAAACAUAAAAUAACUAAUCUUUUUAUGUGAAGGUGCUACAAUAGAGUCAUUCCUUUUGUACUUUUUGUUUAACAAAAAUUUUCUCAAAUGCCUUUAAGUACCAGCGCAAGAGCGGUAUAAAGACAACUCAAAGGCACAAAUAACUGACAAGAAGAAAAGCAAUUGUACAAAUUUAUGAUCUCUCUUUCACGCACAUAGAAAAAAAUACAAUUGUUUGAUAUAUUUUAAGACCUAACAAACUUAAAAGGAAUUUGAUUUUAAAAAAAUAAAUAAAAAAAUUUAGCUAAUCACAGUCGCGACGGAUAUAACUAUAUACCAUGUAGCAUAAAUCUUUAUACAUAAGUGGAUAUAGAAUAUGAAUAUGUGAAAUUCCACAAAUAGAAUCUAAAUAAAAGACAUGAAUAUAUUCACCAAAAAAAGAAUAUGAUACACAGUAGCCUCUCUCAUAUUUUGAUUCACUACGCUAAAAAAAAUAAUGAUGCUAUAAGAAUCAUUUUUUUAUGGGGAAAUUACUCAAAUUAGCCACUACUGGGCUUUUAUUACCACUUGAAGACUAAUUUUACCAUAAUUACAUUUUGUAGCCGGAAGUGUGAAUAAGUUUAACAUAAUUACGGAUCCUGACACAUGCUUGUUUUAAACCAAUAAACCAACAGCACUUUUUUCACUUUACUCAAACUCUCCUUUUACCCCUAAAUCAGUCUCUCUUUACGCCUAAAAUCUCAAUCUAAGAAGCGGUUUCUUCUUCAAUCCACAUCUCUCUCAUGAUAAUAAUCAAUAAAUCCUCAUAAUCUAUCAACUGAUAUUCAUAUUUUAGGUUAGUUUUAACCUACUUGUGUGUGUAUUUGAUUAAUUUAUAAUUUGAAUAGUUAGUUUUUUUAGCAGAUUCUUCAUUUUGAUUUAGCAAUGGCGGAUAAUACUCUUACGAAGAUGGUUACUAGAAGUAUAUCACGUAGUGACCCUGAUGUACAUACGGUUCCAACAUUUAACGUAGGAAUUUCUCAAUCCGAAGAAGAUGCAUUGACUUCGAAAGAAGUUAGAGGUAUUGGGUAUAAAAGAAAAGUUAGAGAUGAAGUUUCGAGUUCGGACAAUGAUGAUGAGGAAUUGGUGAAAGAGGUAUUUUAUUUUUCAAUUUUUUACUUUGUUUUUUAAUUUCUUACAUUGUACUGAAUGAUUGUUAUUUUUAGUGUAUGCAUGUAUUUAUGUAUGUGUAUUUGUCCUAUUAAUGUGUACUGAAUGAUGGUUAUUUGUUGUAUGUAUAUUUGGUAUUGUAUGCAUGUAUUUAUGUAUGUGUAUUUGUCCUAUUAAUGUGUACUGAAUGAUGGUUCUCUGUUGUAUGCAUAUGUGGUACUGUAUGCAUGUAUUUAUGUAUGUGUAUUUGUCCCAUUAAUAUGUACUGAAUGAUGGUUCUCUGUUGUAUGCAUAUAUGGUACUGUAUUCAUGUAUUUAUGUAUGUGUAUUUAUUCCAUUAAUGUGUACUGGAUGAUGGUUAUUGUAACGCUCCAAAAUUAGGUCCCAAGAUGUCACACGAUGCUUAGGGUCACAAGUGACCCCAAGCUAACCCUUCUACUGGCAUAACUCAUAAGCAACUGAAUAAAAUGCUUAAAUUUGUAUAAAAUCAGCGGGAACAUAAAACUUUUCUGAACUUAAUCAAUACAAAUCUGAACUUUACAAGAUUACAACUCCGUUUUUAUCAAAAUAAAAUAGAAACUGAAUACAUUAACUCUACUGACUGUCUAUGAAGCCUCCACUAGUACUGACUUUAGAUAGCCAGAUCAUGACUUCCAACUAUCCCAACUCAAUACGAAUGAAAUAGGAAAAUAAAAAACUGCUCAAAUCGUCUAUCUGGAUCAAACCCUUGAAUAAAAAGGAUUUAUUACCUGCUGACUAGAAGCUGUGAGCUGACUGAAUCUGAAUGUGCACACUAAGUCUUGUACCUACAUUAUGAUACAAUGUAGCACAUAGACGUAUAUGUGCAUCAGCACUUUGGGAAUGUACUAGUAUAUGGGGGUGUAUGCAAUUAAAUAAUCAAUAUCAUAAAUCCGUAUAGGAAACAUACAUGCUAGUAUAGAUGACACAUAGCUUGAAUUAAAACCAUCAUAAUCAUGAAUAAAAAAACAGGUAAUGUAAAUCACGUGAGUCAUUGCACUUCAUUCUAAAUCUGCAUUCUUUCUUUAUUAUCAAACUUGUAAGAUAGAUAAACUCUUAAAACAGCACCUUUCAAAGAAUACACUUAAAUCUCAUGAAAACUAGGGACUUCUUUGGCAACUUAAAAAUUUUGACACUUAAGAGCCUUAGAAAUCUUGGACUCAUAAUUUUCAAAAUACAUAUACUUGUAUCUUAGAUAGAGUGGGGGACUACUUUGGGAUUUUCUUCUAACUAACAUAAACUAUGUGAGCUAUAUGGAGUCCAACGUCUUACCCACAUUGGAGAGAGUUGUUCAAUCCUUGCCAUUGAAUAGAACCUUAACUUUAGUGAUCACUAUCUUAACUCACUUGGGGUAUAUCAGAAAUCUAUGGGGGCACGUAGUUUUGGGGCAUGAGACCUCGAAAUCAAGCCCAACUCAGUGCAAAAUACUACUCCCUUACUUAGCUUAGAACUUUAGAAAAUCCACCUUAAAAUAUUUCAAUAAUAUGCAAUGGGAGCCAAAAUGCAUCCCCUUUAUCUCAAAAUCAAGAAUAUGGAUUUCUUUCUUAACUUAAGGUCAAAACUCACUUCUUUCUUAAAAUCUUGAUAGACUUAUCAUUAAAGCUUUAAAGAUCUCAUAAUAAUGGAAAUAUAAACAUGUUUCUUGCAAUUCUUUAAAAGUCAUCAACAACUCAUUCUCAAAACUCAUAAUUUAACAAUAAGGCUCAACUCAUAACAACAGGUCUUGGGAAUACUUGAAAAUUUGAAAUCAAUAUAGGAAUUUGCAAUUUAUAUCAUGAACUCUCAAUUUAUCUCAUAAUUAAACAAGAUAAUCAUGCAAUUCAAGACUUGAACAAUUUCAUAAUCUCAUAAGCUUGAAAUAUAGCAAAAUAAUAUGAAUUCAUCUUGGAAAUACGAAAUUCUUUAAGAAAACUAAAACUUUUGGGCACAAGAACGAAAGGGUGUUCUUGUUCAAAACCCACAUACCUUAAACUUAGAGCUUUUGGAUGACUUCAAAAAUUUUGAAAGGUUAUUCACGAACUAUUAGGUGUCCCUCAUAGCCCUCUUAACGGGGAAUUCAAAUAUGCAAGAAUUAUUGAAUUCUCACAGUUGAAUCUCUAGAUAAUUGAGUUUUUAUGUUGAAACCCUAACCUUGUGGUUAAAGGUGUGCAGAGAAUUUUGAGAUGUUUAACUAAAGAGAAAUAGAAGAAAAUACGUUCUCUGAGGGUUAUAAGUCAUGGGAAGUGCAAGAAAAAUACCAAAAUACCCUUCCAAAAAUGUCAUUAAAUCGCCGAAACAAGUAGCUGACGACAUUCAUGACAAGUCGUCAGACUUGUGACAAGUCGUCACGAAAUGUCGUCACAAAAGGGUGGAUUUUAUGAUUUUUGGCUUAAGGUUGACGGCAUUUUGUGACAAGCCGUCAAACUUGUGACAAGUCAUCAUAAAAUGUUGGAUUUUGUGACUUUCUGCUUAUGGUGAUGACAUUUUGUGACAAGCCAUCAGGCUUGUGACAAGUCGUCACAAAAUGUCAUCACGAAAUUUCUAGGCUGAUACGCUGGAGUAAAAUGGGCAUAACUCUUUGCUCCGAUAAUGAAUUUUGGCAAAAUUGGUACAGUUGGAAUGAAAAUUCUAAGAGAUUUCAUUUGAUAUAAAGUAGGCCACCCAGUUCAUCAUAUACAAGGAGUUAUGCUCGAUUGAAGUCGACUCAAGUUUCGACGCUCACUAAAACUUGAACGAUAGAAAAUCUUUCAACUUGACCUUGAGUUAGGGGAUCUCUAUGAUCUCAAUUCAUGCCAAAAUAGGUUCCCACACUACAUAAUUGAUUAACAUACCAAAUUUGCAUAGGAUUUAUGGAUUUUGGAACAUCUACAAGUAGAAAUGACGGUUUGCGUUCUAGCCCGAAAUGCGGGGUGUCACAUUAUUUCCCCCUUGGAAUCAUUCAUCCCCGAAUGUUGCUAUUUAGGUUAAGAAUACAAAGAAAACUGAGGAUACACAGUUGAAAUAACUUAUUAAAUUGAAUUAAUAUCUUUCUAAACUUUGGCAUACUUCGAUGAAUGCAUAUACUCAUGAUAAGAAUAGCUAUCUAACUGAAUCUUUGAUUAGAAAGGAGCUGAAUGAAGGAAGGUUGUUACGCUUAUCUGAAUCUGAGCUAACUUGUCCUUUUUACUUAUUUACGAAGAGCUAAAUCAUGCUGAGAGUUUAGAAUUUGCUUGAUGUGCUCAUGGUGUGAUCGUACUUAUGAAACUUCAGGUAGUAAAACUAGGCUAGUUCGAAAAAUGGAAAUCCAUAGAAAUUUAUGUGCCUGAUUGUUAAACAGAACUGUUGUCUAUCCAAACUGAAUCAUACUAGAUACUCAUUCUCAAGUGGAGGGUUUCUUCAACACACCUCUAGGGAUUUCUAACAAUUUGAUGGAGCUAAGAAUUUUGGUCAAGAUCUGAACAAGACAUCUGAAUAAGGGAUUACAAUAUUGCUACAAUUCCAUAGCUUGGAAUCAUAGGCCUUUGAAUCAUAGACUGGGGUAGAAUUUGCUAGGCUUUAGGCAAUGCAACACCUUACUUGAAACUUAGACACACUUCUAAAAUAUUCUAUCAACUAUUCCUUUACCUUAAAAACCAUACUUAUUGAUUCAUCUCCUAAUUUUAACAAGGCCGCUGAUAUUUCCUUCUACUCAGGUCUAAACUGAACUAAAUUCCCUUACCAUCUUCAAGACUAACCCACAAUCAUAGGGUACACCACAUAACACUGUACUACUAGUCUGAACCGUAAUUCAACACACCCUACACUUCACAACUUCUCAUCUCAUGAAAACCCUUACUACUACUUUAACAACUACAUUCAACCUCGUACUAGACAUCUUACUAGUGUGUAGUGCAUUCAUCUAAAUAUACAAACAUGAUGUUUAAUCCUCACUUCUAUAACCACAUAUGCACUUCUAAACACUCUCCCCUAAAAUACCUUUGUCACAACUUACAAACCUCUAUCAAGAACAACUUCCAUGCACUACUCCUAAGAAGACAUAUAUAAGAUUUCAACUACCCAAACAUCUUAUAUAAAACUUCGACUAACCAUGAUGGGUAUUAAAGACUUGGCUUCAAUCUUACUUUACACUUUACUACCUUAGCUAAAAUAAGCAUACAAUGAUCUUCCAGUAACAAGAAAUGUUUACUCUCUCCCAUCCAGACAACUGAUCAUCCUCACUAUCUUGACCGAGGGAAAGGUAAUGUAAGGUUAGAACAUGAGGGCCCAAAAUAUGAGGGGAUACUAUGAAACUUGACACUCAACUGAGGCUUAAGGAAUAGAAUAUAUAGCAUCAUCGACUUAUCAAAGAAGUUUAAUCUAAGGACAUGUAAGAUAUUAAUCCGAAUUUCACUGAUCAUUAAAAGUAUUGCUUGAGUACUUGGACUGAUCAUACUGUAAAGCUUGAGUACAUGCGUCAUGAGCUGCAUGACCUGAAUUGGGAGUUCAUAACUUAUGGAAUGUGAUUCCAACUGCUAAAAGAACUGGAACUCCUCAUUUUUGGGAACUAGGAGAGUACAUAAUUCUCCAUCAUAUAUAUAAACACGAAUUAGGAUCAUGGAACUGAACGUAAGGCAUGAGUAUGUAUUGGGACAACUGAAAAUACUGAAAUAAGAUUGGGUCAAGCAUUAAUCUUUCUUACAGCUAUUCUACAACUUACUAGUACAUCUACUAGAAUCUGAAGGCUUGACUUGGUUACUUGUUCUCUCAUCUCCCCCUUAGAUGUAAGCCAUCACUCUGAGGCUGUGAACCAUUAUAUAAACUCGUCUAACUACAAUCACGUUACUCUAGAGUCUGGGAUAUAGAUGCACAUGAACAAAAGAACUUAACCCAAAUUACUACACCUGAAAGCGUAAAACUAACUUCUAAUACUCACUUCUGAGCUACACCCUAUCUUUUUACAGCCCCAAUAGCCAUCAUUUAACACUUGAUCACUUACUAACUUUGAAUCUGCACGAGCAUCCCCAUAGUUGGAGUGCACACAAUCUAGUGCUUCAACUCUUAUUCUUAUUAGCUAAAUCUUUGAAAUUUCAAACUCAGAUUCUAACACUUAACAUGGGUAUCUCCAAACCUUUGAUGGACCAUACAACUUCUGUCAUAGUCUACCAAUAUUACGCUCGUAAACUUAUGUUUCUAAACUAUGAGAAUCACAGUCAUACUUAAAAAAACUCAACAUCUUCAAUCAUAACUCCUUAACUUAGCUAUCAAGAACAUUACUUAUUAUCUAACUAGUCUUUCUCCACCUAACAUCUCAACGGUACUACUGACCACACAACAUGCAAUAAUCCUCAAAAAAAAAAUAAUGCAGUCUCAUAGCACCUUGGGCGUACUUCUGCAUCAUACAUACAACGUCAAACUUGAUUAUAAAUCAAGUAAACUUAUGCUUUUCCAUACACUGUUCAAGCCUAUUAUAUCAUUUCCCUAUAACUAGCAUCACUAACCAGACAAUUAUUACAUCACCUUGAUAACCAUCAGCUUUUCAAACUUAAUGUCUAGUGCUAAACAUGAUUAACAGUAAAACCUUAUACACUAUUCUCACUUGGAAACUAUAAAAUAAAGCAUAAAAAUUUACACUAGUACACUAGAACUUCAUAAGAACAAUAAUUGAGCAAAAUUAUAUGGCCUAUCUUAUUUAUAGCUACUAACACAUCCUCCUUCUACACAUAAUUACUAUUUACCCUUCUUAUACAUCUAAACUCCUUCAUAGCUUUAUAAGUUUCAACUAAACUUUCUCUUGCAAUCUCAACAAAGCCUAAAUUAACAACAGUUACCCACCAAGUACUUCAAUCAAAACCUAUACUUUUCUAGCAUAACAAAUACCAUCAACAACUCUUUUCUUACCUCAAGCAAACAACAAUCCAUCUUAACUAAUAAUCUACUUCUCUAACUUUCACUAACCUAACAAACAAGGGUAUAUCACUUCAUUACUAAUUCAAUCAUAAGCAAAAAUUCAGCUAUACAUAUUCAAGAAAUCUCCCUUACUACCUUUAUUGUCACCACACUUCUAAACUCACACUUUCAACUAAUACAAGAACAACAAGAUAACCAACAAGUUGCUAGUGAAUCGAAAUAGGCCUCACACGGUUUCACUAAACUUUGAUUUUGUGUUUUGAAUAAGAAAAUAAGAUAAAUAACAAAGCAACUAUGCUAGUGAAUCGAAAGAGCCUCACACGGCUUCACUAGACUUUGAGUUUCAAAAAUACCAUGAUAAUAAGAUUACAUAUUACAAGAUAUAGAAACUUGACACAUCAUAUUAAAUGAUCUAAGAAUACACAUCUUGCUCUGUCUAAACAAAAUAACUCAAAAGAACGAGGGUAUAACUUUAAAUUUGAGGGACUUAUAACACACUAGAAGGCUCCUCUCAAGAUGCUUUGUGUGACUUCUGAAGCUUCUUGCUAUCCAAUCUGAGAGCGUUAUCUGGGGAGGAACUGGAACUCACUAAUCAUGCUAUCUCAAGAAUAAUACAUAGAUAGGGAAGUAUAGCCUUACAUUAUAGAUUCUGAGGAGGAAUCUGGAAGUACAUCUGACUUGGGCUUAAGCACGACUUUUAUGAAUCAUGAAUAGAGCACUUCAAUCAUCAGAACUCAAAAGCACUGAUGGGAUACUUUAUAGCUUACUUACAAUCUGAUAACUAUCUGUAGAGACUAUCUCAGAAAGUACUAUCUGUAAAGAUUUAAGCUUGACUAUUUCUGAUACCUUGAAAAUAAGACAGAGAUGGCUCGGAUAGAGUAAGAUGAGAAUUUAUAUAAGUUUCUUAAAGAACAUUUCUAUAGCACGAUCUAAAACUUGAAAGAAUAGAGACAUUUCUUAAAUGCCUUGUAGCCUCUCAAAGAAAAGUACAGACAUUUUCAUACCGUUCCGCAAGACUCUACUAGACACGGCUUCAUAGACACCCUAGGACUCUUGAACUCUGUGCUCUGAUACCAAGUUUGUAACGCCCCAAAAUUGGGUCCCGAGAUGUCACACGGUGCUUAGGAUCACAAGUGACCCCAAGCUAACCCUUCUACUGCCAUAACUCAUAAGCAACUGAAUAAAAUACUUAAAUCUGUAUAAAAUCAGUGAAAACAUAAAACUUUUCUGAACUUUACAAGAUUGCAACUCUGCUUUUACCAAAAUAAAAUAGAAACUGAAUACAUUAACUCUACUGACUAUCUAUGAAGCCUCUACUAGUACUGACUUUAGAUAGCCGGAUCAUGACUCCCAACUAUCCCAACUUAAUAUGAAUGAAAUAGAAAAAUAAUGAACUGCUAAAAUCAUCUAUCUGGCUCAAACCCUUGAAUUAAAAAAAUUCAUCACCUACAGACUGGAAGCUGUGAGCUGACUGAAUCUGAAUGUGCACACUAAGUCUUGUACCUACAUUAUGAUACAAUGUAGCACAUAGACGUAUAUGUGGAUCAGCACUUUGGGAAUGUACUGAGUAUAUGAGGGUGUAUGUAAUUAAACAAUCAAUAUCAUAAAUCCUUAUAGAAAACAUACAUGCUAGUAUAGUUAACUCACAUAGGUUCAACUAAAAUCAUCAUAAUCAUGAAUAAAAAGACAGGUAAUGUAAAUCACGUGAGUCAUUGCACUUCAUUCUAAAUUUGCAUUCUUUCUUUAUUAUCAAACUUGUAAGAUAGAUAAAGUCUGAAAACAAUAUCUUUAAAAGCAUACACUUAAAUCUCAUGAAAACUAGGGACUUCUUUGGAAACUUAAAGAUUUUGACACUUAAGAGCCUUAGAAAUCUUGGACUCAUAGCUUUCAAAAUACAUAUACUUGUAUCUUAGAUAGAGUGGGGGACUAUUUUGGGAGUUUCUUCGAACCGACAUAAACCAUGUGAGCUACAUGGAGUCCAAUGCCUUACCCAUAUUAGGGAGAGCUGUUCUAUCCUUGCCAUCGGAUAGAACCUUAACUUUAGUGAUCACUAUCUUAACCCAUUUGGGGUAUAUUAGAAACCUACGGAGGCACGUAGUUCUGGGGCAUGAGACCUCGGAAUCACGCCCAACUCGGUGCUAAAUGCAACUCCCUUACUUAGCUUAGAACUUUAGAAAAUCCACUUUAAAAUAUUUCAAUAAUAUGCAAUGGGAGCCAAAACACAACACUUUAUCUCAAAAUCAAUAAUGUGGAUUUCUUUCUUAACUUAAGGUCAAAACUCACUUCUUUCUUAAAAUCUUGAUAGACUUAUUAUUAAAGCUUUAAAGAUCUCAUAAUAAUGGAAAUAUAAACAUAUUUCUUGCAAUUCUUUAAAAGUCAUCAACAACUCAUUCUCAAAACUCAUAAUUUAACAAUAAGGCUCAACUCAUAACAACAGGUCUUGGGAAUACUUGAAAAUUUGAAAUCAAUAUAGGAAUUUGCAAUUUAUAUCAUGAACUCUCAAUUUAUCUCAUAAUUAAACAAGAUAAUCAUGCAAUUCAAGACUUGAACAAUUUCAUAAUCUCAUAAGCUUGAAAUAUAGCAAAAUAAUAUGAAUUCAUCUUGGAAAUAUGAAAUUCUUUAAGAAAACUAAAACUUUUGGGCACAAGAACGAAAGGGUGUUCUUGUUCAAAACCCACAUACCUUAAACUUAGAGCUUUUGGAUGACUUCAAAAAUUUCGGAAGGUUAUUCACGAACUAUUAGGUGUCCCUCGUAGCCCUCUUAACGGGGAAUUCAAAUAUGCAAGAAUUAUUGAAUUCUCACAGUUGAAUCUCUAGAUAAUUGAGUUUUUAUGUUGAAACCCUAACCUUGUGGUUGAAGGUGUGCAGAGAAUUUCGAGAUAUUUAACUAAAGAGAAAUAGAAGAAAAUACGUUCUCUGAGGGUUAUAAGUCAUGGGAAUUGCAGGAAAAGGACCAAAAUACCCUUUCACAAAUUUCAUUAAAUCCCUGAAAAAAAUAGCUGAUGACAUUCGUGACAAGUCAUCAGACUUGUGAUAAGUCGUCACGAAUCGCAUCACAAAAGGGUGAAUUUUAUGAUUUUUGGCUUAAGGUUGACGAUAUUUUGUAUUAAGCCGUCAAACUUGUGACAAGUCAUCACAAAAUAUCAUCACAAAAUGUUGGAUUUUGUGACUUUCUACUUAUGGUGACGAUAUUUUGUGAUAAGCCGUCAGGCCUGUGAUAAGUCGUCACAAGAUGUCGUCACAAAAUUUCUAGGCUGAUAUGCUAGAGUAAAAUAGGCAUAACUCUUUGCACCGAUAACAAAUUUUGGCAAAAUUAGUUUCGUUGGAAAUAUAAUUCAAAGAUCUUUCAUUUAAUAUAUAGUAGGAUACACAGUUUGUCAUAUACAAGGAGUUAUGGUCGAUUAAAAUCGAUUCAAGUUUUGUUGCUCACUAAAACUCGAACGAUAGGAAAGCUUUCAACUUGAACUUGAGUUAGGGAAUCUCUAUGAUCUCAAUUCAUGCCAAAAUAGGUUACCACACUAUAUAAUUGAUUAACAUACCAAAUUUGCAUAGGAUUUAUAGAUUUUGGAACACCUACACGUAGAAAUAACGGUUUACGUUAUAGCCCGAAAAGUGGGGUGUUAUAGUUAUCUCUAUUGUAUGCAUAUUCUUUGUAUUCAUAUACUACUGUAUUUAUAUUUAUAUUCAUUGUAUGAUAUUCAUAUGCUACUGUAUGUUUAUAUGCAGAAUGUGAGAUAUUAUGUUAAGGAACUUCCUUCAGAAUCAUCACAUAUGUGUUGUUAUUCCAACAGUAACAUAAUAGCAGAUUUGAAGGAAAAACUUUCUGGUACGCAGUUUCAGAUGUUUAACAAGACUUGUUUUGGGGUGUCUAUGCAAAUAUAUGAUUGUUUUGUUCAAGCACAACUAGUUAGGAGCUUUAUGUCUUUGAAGUUGGAAGAAAGUUCAAAAGAUGCUCUGGUGAUAUGUAUAAAUGGAUCGACACUUCGAUUUAUGCUUAAGGAAUUUGCAAUCAUAAUAGGAUUAAAUUGUGUUACUAAUGAAGAUGAUUUUAUCAUUGAAAAUAAAGAGCCUAAUCAGAUUGUUUCCCGAUAUUUUGGAGGUCAAAAGACCGUUAAAAAAUCAGCUUUGAUUAAAUAUUUUGAAAAUCGAGAAUGGGGUGAGGGUAAUGACGAUGAUGCUGUCAAGAUUGCUAUACUGUAUUUCAUUAAUACCUUUAUUUUUCUAGUAAGAAGCAUUGUGUAUCUGUCCCUAAGAUUCACAUUCAUUUGGUUGAGAAUGGUAAAUACAAGGAUUACCAUGGGGUAAAAAAGCUUUUAAGGACUUAGUGAAGUCUAUUUCCAAAAAGAUAGAUACACAGAAACAAUAAUAUAGAAUUCAUGGUAUGCCACUUGCUAUGCAAGUUUGGCUUUAUGAGUGUUGCUCUGCUAUUAAUCCAAAAAUUGCUGUCAAACAUGGUAGUAGAAUUUUGAGAUUACUCAAUUGGGAGACCACUGAUAGACGUCCUUAUUUUGAGGCUUUCAUUGAAAGGAUGUUAGCUGAUAUUGACAAUCCAGUAACUAUGAUAUUAUUCUUACAUUAUUACAUUUAGAAUUGAGUUAUUUACAAUUAUUCAAAAUAGUACACUAAUGUAUCUAUUAUUUGCAGGUUGUAUACAGAAAUAUAACAGCUACUUCAAGAGAAAUGGCAAUUUUGACUUCUGUAGAUGCAGUAGAAGAUACAACCUCAAAUGAUGUUUCUUCUAAUGAUGAUUUUUAAGAUGCUCCACCAACUACUGAAAAAAAUAAAGGAAAGAAAAAAGUUGGUACUGCAUUUUCUCCACCACAUAAGAAAUAGAAACAAGUGAAGUCAGUACCUUCAUCUUCAAACAUUCCUAGCAGAUCAUCCUCGAGGAAUACAACAAGCCCUUCCAUUUUUGUUUAAAAAGCAUCGAAGAUAUCAUUGUCUCCUGUUGCAAAAUAUAAGACAAAGAAAGUUGUGACUCAAAAGACUGUUCCUCGAAGGAUACUUCCUAAGAAGCCGCCUAUCCUAGAGAAAAGAAAAUCUGUUGUCAAGCCUCCAGUUAAACCCAAACCAUCCAAUGUUCCUACUGAUGUACCUUCCAGCAGCAAGUCGGAUGAAGAAUCCAUUUUGGCUAAACAAUUUACCAUUUUUUAGAAAUCGGUAAAUACAAUUUUAAUUUUCUUGAAAUCUUUUGUAUUUUUUUUCACAAGUUUCUUCUUAAUUUUUUUGUUAAAAGGUGAAGGGUGAGAUUGGUGAUUUUUGCAAGUUGAUAACUGACAACUUCAAGAGUAUUAUGAAAGUUAUCAAAUCAAUCAAAAAUGCUGAAAAAGUAGUUAUAAUACUAUAUACUUUCAUUAUUCUAUAUAUGUAAAUCUAGUGCAUACACUAAUAGUAUAACAAAUUUCAUUUAUAGGGUCCUAAUGUUGAAGCUGCAGCUGAUAUACCUACUGUUCCCCAAUUUUCACCCUAAAAUAUUAAUGCUGCUCAUUUCAGUGUUCCAAAUCAGUCUAAUACAUCUACAGUUGAGCUACAACGGGUAUCAAAUUAAUAAAUUUAAUAAUUUGUAUAUAUAUGCAAUGUAUUAAUUUUUUUCAAGUACGUUUGCAUUUAUGUUUUCUUACAAUAUAGAAGUAUAUGAACAAUAUAUUAGUCCAUCAUAUUUAUCCAACUUUUAUAGGGUCACAAUAUUGAAGCUGUGGAAGAUAUACCUAUUGUUUCUCAAUCGUCAUCUCAACAUAUUGGCACUGACAGUUCUAGUACUCCAAAGCAGGGUGAUACUUGUAGCGUUGAGCUACAACAGGUAGCAAUGUAUAACUGUAUUUUAAAUUGUAUAACUGUAUAUCUUUGAUAUGCAUUAAUAUUUAUGUAUUUACGUAUCUAAGGAAAUAUGUGACGCAUAUAUUAGUCCAUCAUAUUUUAUUGUUGAGCCGGAUGAUGACAUACAAUUUAAUGAGGUACCACAGAAAAAAAAGAUAUAUUUAUAUUUGUGCAUAACUUUUAUAGACAAACUGUGUUUGUAUUUUUAUUUGACAUGGUGUAUUUAGUAUUUUUAGAUACUUGAAGAAAAUCCACAUCAAAUGCAUACAAGUGAUUGAGGAUGAUGGUGUUGCUACAUUGGGGCCGGAGACUGAAUCACAAUAUGAGAUCCCUGAUAAGCUCCUUCCAAGCUUAAACUUGGUUAAAAGUAUCAUCAUACAUCCAACUAGAUCUAUAAAUGAUACAACACCUGCACCAAAACAAAGGAACAGAAAAAGUAGUCGCUGAAACUUUUCUCCUUUUACAACAAAGUUUGGAUCAUCAUCUAGUACUCUAUUAUAUUUGUCUCACUGUAUUUGUAUUGAUUAUUCAUCACACUAUAAAUAUAUCUUAAAUAAUUAUGCAUACAACUUUCAGGUACUUCUGCGAGUGCAUCAUGUGAUUCACCCAUAUUGAACAAAAAACAUCUAUUUACACCUUUUAUUGACUGUUCAUAUGAUUCGUCUAUUGAGAACAAGUAUUUGAAAUGGAUUAAAGAAGGGCUUCUUACUACACAUAAGUGAAAGUACGUUACUUUUACUAUGUUUCAACUGAUUAGCUUUUUAUCAUAUUGAAUCCGUUUCACAAUACUUAUGGCAGGAAGAACAAUAAAGACCAUUUCAGGAAGCAUAAAUCAGACAUUUUGAUUCUGUUGCAAUUUGGUGUAGAAGUUGUCAAUGAUAAGAAUUGGUUCUACAAACUAUCUUUUUCAGGGCAAUUAUUGAAUAAUGUGGUACAUAGUACAUUGACUUUAUUUUAUUAUGUAUUCGAUUUUAUGUAUUGACACACAAUUUAAUGUUUACAGCACAUUAAUGUCAUAUUCUAUUACUUGCACAAGAAAGACAAGUACAGUCCUCCAAGUAACUACACUUACACAACUGCUGAUUGUGUAUUCAAGAUUAAAGUAGCAGAAUUAUGGGAAAAGUAUGUGGACCCAUAAAGUUGUACAUCUUCUGUGCGUGAAGAAUAUGUUGUAUGUGAAUACAUAAAUGAAUAUAGGUUGAUGGCUGGUGUCCUAUGGCAUACAGUAGAUCAUGUUCUAAUUUCUUUGCAUGUGAAAGAACGACUUCACUGGGUACUUUUUGUAGUGUCGUUCUUAGAUCGGAGUUUAUAUAUUUACGACUCGUACAACUCUACAAUCCAUGAUGUGUAUGUCAAAACAGUGGUGCAAAAGUUUGCAGAGGUUAUACCUUCUUCCUUUUUGAACGUCGACUUCUAUAAGAAGAAAAUAGACAUUGAUUGGCAGUGUCACCCCAAGUACAGAAAUAAAGAUGAAACUGAGCCAUUUAAGGUGAUUUUUGUCAAUGAUAUACCUCAACAAAGAUCUGACAGCAUGUAUGUAUAUAAUGCAUCAAUAUUUUACUUGUAGUACUUAUGCUGGUAAAUAUAGUAACAUAUUUUUGUAUUUAUGUUUUUAGGGAUGUGGUAUUUAUGUUGCUGCUUAUGCGGAGUUUCUCACUGGUGGUCAAGGUGUGCCAAAUCAGGAAUUUGAUAUUGUGCUACUCCACACCUAAUAUGCUGCUUUGCUUUGGGAUUAUGAUAGAAAAAAAAAAGUGGCGCUACGAGUGACGAUGAGGCACCUGCAAAGAUGCAUAGAUACUUCACUGAUUGGGACAGUAGCAAGGAUGUUACUAUAUUGUAAUGCUAGUUUAUGUUCUAGAAAGUUUCUGGGAUUAUGUAGUUUUGAUAAACACAGCAAUAGUGUAUGUGUUUUAUGUGAUACUAGUCUCCUUUCUUUUGAACUAUACUCUAUGUUUAUGUUUUGAAUACACUUUAUCUUUUGUGGUUUUGGAUGAAUAAAUCAGUGUAUGCGGUUUAUAUGAUAGUAAUUUCAUUAUAUUUAUGUUUUGAAUACACUUUAUUUUUUGUGGUUUUGGAUGAACAAAUUAGUGUAUGCAAUUUAUAUGAUAGAAAUUUCAUUGUGUUUGAACCGUAGUGUAUGUGGUUCUAUUUCGAUAUAUAACAUUUUAUUUGCAUUUGUUUUUCCCUCGAUCUUUUGUGUGUAUUAAAUAGUCUCAAUGUAAAGGUAUUGAUAUGAGUUUCGUACAUGAUUUACAAUGUCAAUUGACAUGUAUUCUAUCUCAACAUAAUAGGAUUACAUUUUUAUGCACAAGUAUUUAACAAAUGAAAAAUCAUAUGUAUUUGAUAGUGUCAUUCUACUGAAAAUAUAUGUCAAUACAUUUGUGUAUUGCUAAUUACCUGAUAUAUGAAAACACAUAGAAUAUCAACUAUAAAGAUCAACAGUUAUCACUACAUUCAUGAAUACAAAUAGCUAUAUUCAGCAAAUUCAUUAUGAUCAUUAAAUUUGUUCAAACAAGAAUAUAGUAAAAAACACUUAGAUUGCAGUAACUAAAGCAGAUUUUUAAUACAGCAACAACUAAAGCAGUUUUUAAACUGUGUUCCAAAUUGAUUGUAUAAAAAAAUUAACUAGCUAUUUAUUAUAGUAGCUUUUAGCUAAUCCCAACUUCAAUGUAUCUCCUCAUGUGGUGCAUUACCACAUAAACGCCUGUUAUGACCACGAAAUCCACAUGUGCUACAGAUUUUUUUCUUCUUUUUAUACAGCUCAGUGAAUGACUUUUUUCGUUUUUUCUUUGGUCUUCCAGGAGGGCUUUUAAACUUAAGUGGUAGUACCACUUCUUUUGUAACUUCUUUAGGUAUCUGUCAGUCAAUCACAUCUGGAAAAGGAUACACUAGAAUCUCAUAUGUUUUCAACACAAUUUCUGGCUUGUAAUAAUCUGAGCAAUAUGGACCUGCUUUGAAUUUCUUCUUGUUUAAAAUAGCCAAAGCAUCCGGGCAUGGUAUUUCAUCAUAUUGAAACUGUCCACAACUGCAUUUUUUGUUUUCAAGGCAAACAAUAAAGGAUUUUCCUUUGUCAUUUACUGCAUAUAAGUAGUCUGUUGACGGUGUAACCUGCAAUGAAUACAUAAAGACAACACAAAUCUAAAUCUAGAAUACUAUAUAUUAAAUACAUAUGUAUCCUAACAUACUGUUAUACAUGCUGAUAGGGUAUCAUUCAUUGUAAGAAUCUCCUGAAAUUUCAUGCUAAGUGUUGUGGAUGUAAAGGAAGUAUUUUGCCUAUUAGUGCAAUUCCAUCGUCCAAACAUCUUUCUCACUUCUUCAAAAAAAAUUAUAAAUUGGCUUCUCUCUUGCUAUUACCAGUGCUGAAUUAAUAGACUCAAUAUUUGAUGUCAUUGUCCAUCCUCUGUGAACAGGUGCAUACACCCUUGACCACUUGUCAUAUCCUGCCAACUCCAAAUAUUCCUUAACUCUCACAUCUACAUUUUGAACUAUUUCCAUCAAGCUGUUAAAAUCAGAUUGUCUGUAUGCUUUAGCCAUGGUAUAGUACACCUUGCUUAACUGGUCAUGUGACUUCCUGUAUCUUUUGUGUAAAUUUUACCAUAAGUUCCAUAUGCAUGCAUAAUGUGUUACAUCAGGGUACACUUUGUAAACAGCUUUUAUGAUAUUCUCAUUUCUAUAUAUAAAAAAAAACAAUGCACAUCUCUAGUCUUUGACCGUAAGCUUCCUUAAAUUGCUCAAAAAACUAAGUCCAUGAAGCAUCAUUUUCUGAAUCAACCACUCCAUAUGCUAAUGGUAAUAUGUUACCUGUACAAAAAUAUAAAUACAAAUACAUGAUAGAUGUCAAAAUAAUCUCUAAGUUUUUAUUUAAAUAAUGUAGUGUACUUACCUGCACCAUCUAAAAUACUAGCACAGACAAAUGUCCCUAUGUAUGUUGAUUUGAGCUGGCUUCCAUAAACUACAAUGAUUGGUCUAAAAUGCUCAAAUCCCUUGAUAAAAGCAUAAAGAGAUAUAAACAGAUACAAAAAUCAAUUUUCAGGCGUUUUAUUCAUUCGAAUAUGUGAUCCAGGGUAAGUUUUUUCCAUGAUGUAUAAGUAUGCAGGUAACUUCUGGUAAGAUCGAGCCGGUUUCCCCAUUAUAGAAUCUACUGCCUUCUCUUUAGCACGCCAAGCCACCAUGUAUGUCACAUCCAGUCCAAUGUCUUUCUUUAUAUCAUCUCUAAUAUCAGUUGGUGUAUAUUUUCUCUUUAAAUUGACUAUUUUGAUUUAAUAAUCCUUGCUAUCAAUUUGCUAGUAGCAUAAGAGUCUUUGUAGAUCUUAUCCUUCAGUGAAUAUGUAUGUUCGCUUACAAAAGUUCGAACUACAAACUGCUUAGAAUCGUUCAUGCUUGACGACUUGAAAAACCACUUGCAUUCUUUAGAUUUACAUUUAAGUCAAUAGCUGCAUACUACAUAUAUAGUGAAUGCACAAGCCAUUACAAAAUUGUAUACAUUAUGAUAGUAAUAACAUUCAGUGAAAUCAAAUGUAUAAAGAAUAAACAUACCUGCUAGCAUUAGACCUAGGUACUUUGGUAGUAAAUCGGUGAUUAAUUGAAUAGUUAUGCAUUACAGCCUGAAGUGUAGCCUUGUCUUUGUAUUUCUGGCCAACAACUAUUUUUUUAUUAGUAUCAAAAAUAAAAUUUUGCAAUGUUAUUGGCUUGCCAUAGUUUGUCAUCAUCAUUUGAAGUGGAUUAAUUGAAGCGUUGUAUCAAGUUCACAAUCAUUUGCAAACAUAAGUUCAUUUCCAAUAAGAUUUUCUGCUGAUACAUCCUUGCUGAUUUCAUUAUCAGAAAAAUUAACACACAGAGGAUACUUGGCAAACACAUUGUUUAACUUCUUCAAUUGAACAUACACCUUGACUCCCAUGUCGUUGUGUAUCUCCAUUGGUUUAUUGGCACCCUCAACACUGUAUUUAAUCUUCACAGUUUUCACUCUCAAGUCUAUCAUCAGCUGGCUACCAAUAAACUCAACCAAGUCUCUGUGAGAGGCAUAUUCAUUUAAGACUAUUCCUUCAGUCUCAUAAUAAUUGUAUUUAUUGUCUUCAGUCCACUUUCCCUAAUGCCAAAUCAUGAUCAUUAUGCUUGUCAUUUUGUUUCUGUUAACGUUGAUGCAACUGUUAAAAAUUAGAAAUACAGUAGCACAAAGUGAAUACAGUAGUAUAUUACAAAGUUGAUUCGAUAAUUCAAACAUACAAAGUUAAUACAGUCAUUGAAAUUAAAGUAUCGAUCAAUUGAAAACUCUACAAGCAGUACAAACAAUUAUACACAAAACUACAAUUCACUGAAUCAUAUCAUUUAACCUAGUGUAUUUGUAUCAAGGUCAAGGAACGGAUUAAGAACUACAUUACGACAUGCCAUAUUUGAUUCCAAGGAUGAAUCAAAAUUUUCAAUAUUUUGAUGAUUUUAAAUUAUUCUGUAUUUAUUUCAAGCUCGUAUAACAGUGAAUAAAACUACAUUACAACAUUUUGUAUUUGCUUCAAAGGACGAUCAACCAAAAUUUUGAGGAUUUUGAUGAUUUUGAAUUCUUUAGUAUUUGUUUCAAACUCGAAGUACAGAACAAUGAAAAAAACAUUACGACAUACAAUACUUGUUCUGAAGAAGGAUGAAUCAAAAUUUUGAAAAUUUUGAUGAUUUUGAAUUUCUCAGUAUUUGUUUCAAACUUAAAGUACAAAACAGUGAAAAAACUACAUUACGACAUACAAUAUUUGUUCCGAAGAAGAAGGAUCAAUCAAAAUUUUGGGAAUUUUGAAUUUCUCAAUAUUUGUUUCAAACUCAAAGUACAAAACAAUGAAAAAUCUACAUUACGACAUACAUUGUUUUGAAGAAGAAGGAUCAAUCAAAAUUUUGGGGAUUUUGAUGAUUUUGAAUUCUUCAGUAUUUGUUUCAAAUUGGAAAAACAGAGAAGAAAAUACAUUAUGACAUACCUGUAUACGUUCCGAAGAAGGAUCAAUCAAUUUUUUUUGAAAUUUUGCGUUUUGUUUAGGUAUGAAUUUAGCUCUAUUUGUUCAUAAAAACGGAGAAUUGCAUUUGAGAGAAUCGUGUUUAGCUCUAUUUGUUGAUAAAAAUGUAGAAUUAUCUUUGAGAGAAUCGUGUUUAAUUAGACAAGAGAUAGUCAUUUAACAGAAAAAGCGUGAUUGAAUUUUUUUUUCUUGUUUAAAAGAUUUAUUUCCAUUUUUGGCGCAACUGUAUUCAUAUUUUAUAUGAGUACAUAGUAUCGGUAAAACUGAAUACAGCGGGUAUAAAUCGAAUACAAUGGCUAUAAAUGAUAAUUAUGUAAAAUGUGGCUAGAGAAGGUGGGUUUUAUAGCAAAAUGCUGCUAUUUUUGAAAGUUAUCCUUUUUUUAAUUUACUAUAUUAGAAGAGUGAGCUUAAAUAUAUAUUGAUAUCAACAGUUAAAUGUCAAUAAAUUCAAAUAUAAGAAUAAUUUUGAGAUUUUAAUGCUCUUGCAAGAUUAACUUGCUUAAAAAGUCAUAUCCUCGCCGCUUUAUAAUUUGAACCUUACAUCUCCCAGAAAAUUUUGUUCCUUGAAAUGUGUCCUUUUGUUUCUCUAAAUGUAGGGCCUACUCGCCCAAUCAUUUUAUACUCCUCUUCUAUGCAUUUUUUCUGAAUUGUCUUCAUGUCUUUUGGAUUUCAGAGCUUAAGUGAAAGUUCUACUUUAAUUAGCUAUUAAUUUUUAGUUUUUUAUAGAAAAUAUAAUUUAAAAUAAAAUAAUUUUCAGGGGGGCUUUUGAUGCAUUGGACAAAAAUGAUAAUUUCUAAAUAAAAUUUAAGAGUAACUUUUAUUCUAGAUUGGAUCUUAGAUAUUAGAUAAUUUUGAUAUUGUUUUAUCCCUCAUGCAUACUAAAAUGAUAGAAUUACUACUCGACAUAAAAAAAUGAGAUAAAAUAAUCUCAUCAAAUAUCUUGAUUCAUAUAAUAUCCUUACUCAUGCUACUCGCAUGCCAAAGCCAAACGCCCCUUAGGAGUUGAAAUUAUUUACAGUUGAAAGCAUACUUCUAUCUAUGUACCAAAAAAUUACAUUAAUAAAAAGGAGCAAGAAAAUGAGUCUCAAAUCAAACACCACAUAUAUAAUUAGCAAAGUAAAAACAAUUAAAACUAAAGAUACAGAUUAAUAUUGCACUCUUAAAACAAUUCUGCAAAUUUAAUAGAAAAUGCUUAAUUGUUCACCCGUGCUAGCAUGGGCAAUGAUAUCUAGUAUAUAUUAUAGAUAGAAAUGACAGGAGAAAGAACCAAACUCCAACCGAAAUCAUAGCAACUACGGAAGUUAUUCCUUCCAUCUACUGAUGUUUGUUCUCUCAACAGAGUGAUUGAUUUUGAAAAUGAAAUUUAUUAUGAUUUUAAUUCGACCUCUCUGAUAAACUGACUUAUUGCACUGAUCACAGGGAGAGGAUUCUCUAUAUGUGCAGCAUGACCAGAAUAUGGAAUUUCAACUAUUUCUGGAAUUAUCAUAGUCUCUGUGCUCUGGCACAUUGUGUCAUACAUCUUUUGAGAAAUGUUCUUAAAUUUAACAUCUUUCUCUCCAACGAUGAAUUGAAGAGGUACUCUGCACCUCUUCAGAUCUUCCCAUAAUGGCCUGUCAUACAUGAAGAGGACAAUUAGAACGGGGGACUUCGAAAAGGAAAAAAUUAGAAGGAACAUGCAUCUACAUGUUUUGGAAUUUAAGUGUAUCAGUUGGAAGAUAUACUAGGUUACUGAGAUACACAUAUUGACUAGCUAAAGGAUCACAUCAUACCAUGCCGUCCAACUAGAGAGCUACUAGGCAAUAUGGGUAUCGUUGGCUUUCUUUUAACGCGCCGAUUCUAUAUUUGUAUGUUUUAGUUGGUUUUGAGGUUAUUCGAGGCGAAGGCUCCGUGAUUGGAGGCUUGGGACUGGGAUUUCAUUGUUCGAGGUGGGUUAUGGCUUAACUUUCUUCAGAAUGGGUUGGGUAGUUAAUAUCAAAUAUAAAAGCAUGCUAUGAGUAUGGAAAUGAAUCAUGGAAAUAGUUUUAUUACUGUUGUGUGCCCGUGUGGGGGCUUAUGUUGUUGUUAUUGGUGGUUUAAGACUAAUUGUUAUGUGUGGCUCGUAUGAGGUCUUAUCUGAUAUUGUUGUCUUUGUGUAUAUAUUUGGUUGUUUGCUUCCUAGUAGAAAUGCCUAAGUUGGGGUUUAUGUGGUAUCAACGAUAUAUUACUUGCAUAUUUCACUCUAAUGGUACAUGACUUAUAUUGGAUCAUGGAUAGUAGACCUAUUGAGUGGAUUUUUAGCUCACAUGCAUGUAUAUUGGUUGGAUUUGAGAUUCUCAUUCUGGUUUAGUUGUGAGCAUUACAUCCUCAUAUCAUACAUACAUUCAUGAGAUAUUGUAUCAUUGUGGAAAUAUUGAUUUUUGAUAGAAAAUGUGACACCUUCAUAAAACCCCUUCUACCGUAGCCCAUGAGUCGAAGAAGAGAUAUGGAUAUUGAGAUUGGAUUGAGUAUUAAGAUUGUACAUGGGUUGUGAACCCCUCAUGGGUCCUACCUGGGAGCAAUGCUCAAUAGGUGUAUACAGAGGUAAUGUGAUAACCUUGGACAUAUCACAUCAUCCUCAUUGCAUUUCAUACAUUAUGUACAUGGGUUGUGAACCCCUCAUGGGUCCUACCUGGGAGCAAUGCUCAAUAGGUGUAUACAGAGGUUAUGUGAUAACUUUGGACAUAUCACAUCAUCCUCAUUGCAUUUCAUACAUAUCUUCACUGUUGUGCUUUCGUGUUUGAUUUGAUGUACAUCUAUUUUGUAUUCUUUUUGUUUUUGAAUCUGGUUUAUGUGAUGUAUUUAUAACUGUUAGUGGAGACUGUGUGAGCUACCGUUUGGGACAUUUUCUGAUUGCAGGUGACAUGCUCAUAGUGUGUAUUUUAUAUACCUUUUUUCUACUUUACUCAGUCGGCCUAUGAUACCUACUGAGUAUAAGUGGACCGUACUCAUCCCUACUGCGCCCUUUCGGUUCAGAUUCAGGUUCGAGUGCACUGCGCGACAGCUGAGUUCGAGCGAUAAUUUGAUACAUUCGAGGUAAGGGCCACUCUAUGCUUCCAGAGUCGACCUCCGACCUCAUCCUAUCUAGUUUAUGUCUUGUCUUGUAUUCAGAGACAGAUUGCGGUUCCUUUUGGAUUAUCAAAUGUAUUUUCAGACUUCGAGUUGUAUGUAGAUUGUUCUUACACUGUGGCACCGGGUUUUGGGAUGGUUUAUGGUAUUGUUUUGAUAUUCAAAUUUCCAUUACUAUCGUGUAUGUAUGGUUCGACUUCACUCUAGAAGUCUAGCCUUGGAAUUUUGGUGUUUUCUUAUUUCAUAUCAGUUUGGGUGAUUGGCUUACUUGUCAAGGCUUAGCCGCUAUAAGUGUCAUGACCUUUAGUUUUGGGUCGUGACACCAAUCCCUCACAGCUUCCAUCUUCUGCAGAUAAAUUGACCUUUAGUUUUGGGUCGUGACACCAAUCCCUCACAGCUUCCAUCUUCUGCAGAUAAAUUGAGACCCCUUAUUCAGUCUUGAAAUGUCCCAGAUACUCAAUCUUGAAAAACAAAAAGAACAUUUACUUCCCUUAGCAAAUAGGUGUUGUUUAAGCAUCUCUUGAAACACAACCUUCAAAUGGUGUAGAUGAUCUUUCUAGCAGCUACUAUAGAUUAGAAUAUUAUCAAAGUAAAAGCCAGCACAAACUUCCUCAAAAAUGCACGAAACACUGAUUAAUCAACCUUUGGAAUGUGGCAGGGGCAUUAGAUAAACCAAAUGGCAUGACAUAUUAUUCAAAGUGGCCAAAAUGGGCCCUAAAAGCAGUUUUGGGAAUAUCCUCAAUGGCCAUCCUCAAUUGAUGGUGCUAGAAUAUGAAUAGAAAUAGGACUAAUAUAUAAAAAUCCUACUUGGAAAAGAAUUAUACUAUAGUGUCUAUAAAUAGGAUCUUGAUGUAAUUAGGUAAACACACAAUUCAAUAAUACUUUUUCCUCUAUUAUUUCUCAAAUGGUAGAAAUUUCAAAAAAAAAAACACUAAGUCACCGUGAGUCAAUUUUCGGUGACUGAUUUGUGUCAUUAUCUGUUUUCUGGGUUGUGUGCCAAAUACAACACCCCCAAGAGGAUAGGAAAGUUCAAGUGCCCAAAAAAACCAACCAAAGUCGCCGAAAAAAUACAGUCCACGCGCUGCCACGCGCUUGCCGAAAAUUUGUAAUUCCGAUGAGAUCUGUACCACGCAUCGGCGUGUGAGACUUCUCUGGUCCACUUUUUUCAGUUGUUCCUUUAUUGUUGGGUCGCCCAGAUAAUCUGACUCCGACCAGUUACUUUUUUUGCAAUUCCGUCAAGUUUUUCCAGAUUUCGAUCACCGAAACCCUAAUUUCGGCGACUUUAUAUUUUCUCGACAAAUUUUCAGAGAUUCGGAUUUUGUUUCUUGGUAUUUUCAAGUUAAAAUUCCCAAGAUAUCUUUUGAAUAUGAUAUUUUUGGCUCCAAAAAUAUUGGAAUUGGAAGUUCAAGUCCUAUGAUUACUUCCGGACCAUUCAUGGGAAGUUUAAAUUAUUUAGCCUAGGCUUCCUCGGUUGAGUUGUGGUGCAAAGGUCAAGGCGUCUACGAUCACUUAAAGAACAAGGCUAGAGUGGUAGAUGAAAAGGCAAAAUCUAGUGCGGAAGAUGCGAAAGCCAAAGAACAAUGGGAGAAAGUUGACGCUUAAUUAUAGUCUCUUAUGGCGAUCUAUUGAUUCCAAGUUGAUGCCCUUGUUUCGUCCAUUCCAGACAUGUUAUCUAGUUUGGAAAAAGGCUUGUGCUUUAUACACUAAUGACACAUCUCGUUUUUAUGAUGUGAUAUCUUGAAUGACCAACUUGAAGAAAUAGGAAUCUGAUAUGUCUACUUCCUUGGGACAAGUACAAGCAGUCAUGGAAGAAUUUGAUGCAUUGAUGCCCGUUACUGUAGAUGUGGAAAAACAACAAGAGCACAGACAGAUAUUGUUUUUAGUUCUUACACUUACUGGACUUUCUACUGACCAAGAUUCAGUACGUGAUCAGAUUUUAGCUAGUCCUACGGUUCCUACAAUUGAUGAGCUAUUCUCUCGUCUGCUACAUCUUGUCGCGCCUCCCAGUCACAAAAUAAUUUCAUCACCCAUCGUUGACUCCUCUAUUCUUGCACCUCAAACCAUAGAAAAAUAAAUAUAUCAGCCUAUGGAGAAUCGACAAGGAAGAGGUCGUUCCGAAAAAUCUCGAUCAAAGUGCAGUUAUUGUCAUAAAGUGGGACACACUCAGGAUAUGUCAUAUUUUGCAUGGUCCACCACCCAGUUAUGAUCCUAUUGCUGUAAGGAAUAUAAUGAGUUCCUUCAAAACUGAGCAAGUAAGCAAACAUCUCCAUAGCCUAAUCGACCAUCCAAUAAUGCUCAUAUUGCCCAGACAGAAUAUGAUGAGUUCCUUCAGUAUCGAACAAGCAGACAUCUCCACAAGUAGCCUCAGUUGCCUAGCUUGAUACUUCUGUUGUUCGUAAUCCUUUUGCUUGUGUUUCAUAGUCUAGUACUUUUGGACUCAGGUGCUUCUAAUCAUAUUUCUAGUAACAAAUCACAUCUGUCUGAUAUUGUUUAAUCACAAUCUUUUCCUGCUAUUACUUUAACCAAUGGGAUCCGAACAAAACCAAACGGAGUUGGACAAGCCAAAUCCCUAUCUUCUGUCACUCUAGACUUUGUUCUUUAUGUCCCUGGUUGUCCUUUUAAUCGUGCAUUUGUUAGUCGUUUGAAACGUGCCCUUCAUUGUAGCAUAACUUUUUUUGAUAAUUCUUUUCUAAUGUAGGACCGCGGUACGGGACAGACGAUUAGCACGGGGCAUGAAUCACAGAGCACUUACUAUCUUACCUCUUCAAAUUCCUUCACAACAUGCUCCAUUACAGACCCUCCAGACCUAAUUCACAAACGUUUAGGACAUCCAAGUCUAUCCAAGCUACAAAAGAUGGUGCCUAGUUUGUCUAGUUUAUCCACAUUAGAUUGUGAGUCAUGUCAACUUGGGAAACACACCCGUGCUACUUUUUCACGUAGUAUUGAGAGUUGUUCAAAGUCUAUUUUCUCAUUAGUUCAUUCUGAUGUUUGGGGUCCUAUUAGAGUCAGUUCACCCUUAGGUUUUCGUUAUUUUGUUAGUUCCAUUUAUGAUUUUUCAAGAUGUACUUAGGUUUUCUUAAUGAAAAAUAUCUAUAUUCAAAAGUUUUUGUCCUGAAAUACAAACUUAAUUUGGUGUUUUUAUUCGUACUUUUCGUGGUGAUAUACCUUAGAAUACUUAUCUUCUUAAUUUCAGGAGUUUAUUAGUCAUCAAGGAAUCAAGGAAUAAUUCACCAGACAAGUGUACACCUCUCAGCAGAACGGUAUAGCAGAAAGAAAAAAUAGACAUCUUCUUAAGACUGCUCGCACUCUUCUCAUUAAAUCCUUUUCGCUACAUUUUUGGGGUGAUGCAGUCCUCGCAUCUUAAUAUCUAAUUAAUAAAAAGACAUCAUCUUCCAUUCAGAAUCAGGUUCCCCAUUAUAUAUUGUUUCCACAGUCACAUUUAUACCCUAUCCCCCCUCGUGUCUUUGGGAGCACAUGCUUUGUUCAUAACUUAGCCCCUGAAAAAGAUAAAUUAGCCCAUCGUGCUCUCAAGUGUGUCUUCCUUGGUUACUCUCGAGUUCAAAAAGGGUAUCGUUAUUAGUUCACCGAAUUUUCAUCCUUACUUUAUGUCUACCGAUGUCACCUUUUUUGAAUCUCGACCUUACUAUACAUCUUCUGAUCAUCCUGAUAUCUCUGAGAUUUUACCCGUAUCUCCAGACUUACCUGAACCAACCUUUGAAGUAUCAAUGGUUACUUCUACAUCUCCAGUUGUAGUGCCACUUCUAACUUAUCAUCGUCGUCCACGUCCACCAUCAGUCCCAGGAGAUUCAUGUCAUGCGUCGGACGCUGCUCCUACUGCGGACUUGCCUUCUCCUAGCCAAUCAGUUGCACUACAAAAAGGUAUGCGUUCCACUCGUAAUGCUAACCCACAUUAUAUGUUCUUGAGUUAUCAUCGUUUAUCACCACCCCAUUAUGUUUUUGUAUCAUCUUUCCUCUAUUUCUCAUUCAGGAUGGAAACAGGUUAUGAUAGAUAAGAUGUUUUCUUUACAUGUGAGUGGUACUUGGGAGUUUGUUUCCCUGCAGGUAAAUCUAUUGUUGGUUGUCGUUGGGUUUAUGCAGUCAAAGUUGGUCCAGACGAUAAAGUUGAUCGGCUUAAGGCUCGUCUUGUUGCCAAAGGAUGCACGCAAAUAUUUGGGCUUGAUUAUAGUGACACUUUCUCUCCCGUGGCUAAAAUAGCAAUUGUCCAUCUUUUCCUACCCAUUGUGGUCGUUUGUCAUUGGCCUUUUUAUCAGUUGGAUAUUAAGAAUGCUUUUCUGCAUGGUGAUCAGAGGAAGAAGUCUAUAUAGAGCAACCGCCUGGUUUUGUUGCUUGGGGGAGUCAAGUAGUCUUGUAUGUCGAUUGCGCAGGUCACUCUAUGAUCUGAAACAGUCCCCUCGAGCUUGGUUUGAAAAGUUUAGCACAAUAAUACAGCAGUUUGGCAUGAAUCGUAGUGGAGCUAAUCACUCAGUGUUUUAUCGACAUUCUCAACCAAAUCUGUAUAUUUAUUUGGUGGUUAAUGUUGAUGAUAUCGUUAUCACCCGCAACGAUGAAGAUCGUAUCACUAAAUUGAAGUAACAUCUCUUUUAGCAUUUCCAAACUAAAGACCUCGGCAGACUAAAACAUUUCCUAGGUAUUGAGGUUGCUCAGUCCAGAUCAGGUAUUGUUAUUUCUCAACGCAAGUAUGCCUUAGACAUUCUUAAGGAGAGAGGAAUGAUGGGAUAUAGACCCAUUGACACUCCUAUGGAUCUAAAUGUUAAACUUCUGCCAGGAUAGGGGGAGCCACUCAGUGAUCCUGAAAGACAGUUGGUUAGAAAAUUGAAUUAUCUCACCGUGAUUAGACCUGACAUAUCAUUUUCUAUGAGUGUUGUAAGUCAGUUUAUGACUUCCCCUUGAUAGUCAUUGGGAUACAGUUGUUCGUAUUCUGCGAUAUAUAAAGGUAGCUCCAGGUAAAGGACUACUUUUAGAGGAUUGAGGUCACGAACAUAUCAUUGGAUACACAGAUGCUAAUUGGGCAGUAUCACCCUCUGAUAGACGUUCUACCUCUGGAUAUUAUGUUUUAGUAGGAGGUAAUUUGGUGUCUUGGAAACGUACGAAACAUAGUAUGGUUGCUCGGUCUAGUGUGGAAGCAAAAUAUCGAGCAAUGAUUGUAGCAACUUCUGAGCUAAUUUGGAUCAAACAGUUGCUGACAGAGCUAAAAUUUGGAGAAAUCGAUAAGAUGAAACUUGUGUGUGAUAAUCAAGCAACCCUUCAUAUCGCAUCAAAUCCAGUGUUUCAUGAGAGGACUAAACACAUAAAGAUUAAUUGCCACUUUGUCAGAGGAAAGAUACUCUCAGGAGAUAUUGUUACAAAAUUUGUGAAGUCAAGUGAUCAACUCGCAGAUAUCUUCAUCAAGUCUCUCACCGGUCCUCGUAUUAAUUACAUUUGUAACAAGUUAGUUACUUAUGAUUUGUAUGCACCAACUUGAGGGGGAGUGUUAGAAUAUGAACAGAAAUAGGAAUAGUAUAUAAAAUUCUACUUGGAAAAGGAUUGUACUAUAGUGUCAAUAAAUAGGGUCUUGAUGUAAUUAUGUAAAAACACAAUUCAAUAAUAUUUUUCCUCUAUUAUAUCUCACACAGAUGGUAUCCAGACCUAAGAUCUAUUUUGGAAAAAAUCUUAGAUCCUCUUAAUUUGUCCAACAAAUCUUCUACAAUGGAGAUGGAAAAUUUGUUCUUCACAGUGGCUUUAUUCAAAUCCCUAUAGUCAACACAUAGUUUCCAAGUCCCAUCUUUCUAGUUUCCAAGUCCCAUCUUUCUUCCCUACCAAGACUACAGGAGCAGCAAAGAGAUUGCUACUUGGUUGAAUAAUGCCUUAUUCUAACAUUUGCUUCACCAAUGACUCAAUGAUAUCCUUCUUAACAGAGGGAUAUCUAUAGGGUCUUGUUGAUUGGCUUGAUUGGCUCAGUGUCCUGUGCAGUACCACUCUAUGAUCAAACACCCCUAGAUGGUAGCUGUUAUGUAGGCUCCUCAAACAAGGUUUUGAACUUCAACAAUAGACCAGCUAAACUAGGGUUGUGCUCAGUUUCCCCUUAGCUUCCAAAGCAUACAGCUGUACCUUAUUACACAUGGAGGGGAAUGGGGAUUAACUGAAUCAUGCAGAGUUCUGAAUGGUUACCUGAAAUUCUUGCCAAAUUGCUACCUCCGGCCGGAGCUCAGUAUUUGUGUGCUAGCUCCUCUCAACACGUCUCUUCCCCAUGUAUACAAAUUCCAUUGUCAACUCCCUAAAGUUAAUUUUUACGUCUCCCAAAGUGAGAAGCCACUGCACCCCUAAGACCAUAUCCUAGAGGUAAUAAUAAGUCAGCAGAGAAUUCUGUUCCUUCUAGAAACCAAGAAAUUUUGCACAUCUUGUCCACGCACAUAAUGCCAUUAGCUACAGCUACUGCUUGAGGUCUAGUCUGAGUAAUAGAACACCCCAAUUGUUCUACCACAAUGGGAUCAAAUGAAAUUGUAGGAGCUUCCAGUGCCCACUAGAAUAUGUGAUGGUUUCUUUGCAAGAUAACCAAUCACCUUCAGUGUCCUGUAACCCAAAGACCCAUUGAGAGCAUGAAAUGAAAUCUUCGUUUGUUCAUUUGCUUACUAACCUUAAAGAUCCUGACUUGCCAUCUCUUCUGGUGGCUCUUCCAGUUGUAACUGCUGUUCUCCCAUCUGCUGCUCCUCAAUUUCCAAUAUAUACAGUUGCCUAUGCCUUUUGCAGUUAUGCCCAAGCACAAGCUUUUUGCUCUCCUCAUUCAUUUCUUUUGGAUUCAACCUCCUUCUACUGAACCUCCUGCAUCCUAGCAGCUUUAAACACCAGUGAUAGAGUUGUGAUUGAAAAUCUUUAGUGCAAUAUUCAACUCUAGUCUUAACCCACCAAUGAAAUAGCUUAUUGCAUUUUCUUAAGAGAGAUUCACUCUAGUCAAGUUUCUUUCAAAGAAUGCCUGGUACUCCCCCUUCACACUUCCUAGCUGUUUCAUCUUCUUAAAUCUCUUCCAUGGGAUCAUGAAAGUCAUUCCCAAACCUCUCUACUAGGGUCUAGGGCUAUCACAUAUUCAUUCCAUGUGGCUGGAUGAAAGUAUUGCCGAUAUCUCAUGAAGGAUAAGUGCCAUUGAAUGGCCUCCCCCCACUGAUUGCAAUGCAGCUACUCCAAUUUUCUCUUCAUUUCGUACAUUUUCCAUCAAAAAGAACUGGUCAAUCUUGAAUAACAAAGAUUUUAAAUCCUCAGAGGUAAACCUCAGGAGUUCCAUCCUAGACCAUCUGGAAAAAACAGAAUUGUGGUGGUUAGUGAAACUUGCAGGACUUCUGCUUCUACCCCUCUGUAGUCUUUCCCCAGAACCCCCCUCCUGCCGAGGGUUCAUCUUACUGCUCAACUGGAGUUUUAUCCCUUCAAGGACCAUGCGCAGCUGAGAUCUGAUCACGCAAGUCAAUUACCGUUUGAUCCAACCUUUUCGGAUUAGAAACCUCUCAUGCUAAAGUUCUCAUUUCAGCAAUCACCUUCUGCAUCAAUUGUUGCAAUUCCCCCAUUUCUACUGGGGAAUUCUCCAUGGAUGUUUCACCGACUGUCUUAAUUCCUUUUUCCAACAACGCCAAGGAUUCACUUGCCUCUGAUACCAAUGUUAACAGAUUUCUAGGGAUCAAGAAAUCCGAGAAAAUCUAAAGCUAGGCCAGGAGCCCUUCGGAGGGAGCUUGAGAAUGAAGCUUAAAAAUGGGGAUGAAAAAGAGAGGGAAAAAUAAGAAGAUAGGACAGAGACACGGGUAAUACUUUCUUAUUGAUUCCCAAAAUGAACAUAUACAGGAUUUAUAUCAAUUGCACGUUCACAAUUUCAGUUACUCGUCUAGCUAACUAUAACCGACUAACAGUGACUAACUGUGAGCCUAACAUUCAUAACUAACUUUGCUGAUAUGGACUUGAUCUCUCAAUUACCUGUAUCACUUUCCAGCAAAUAUAAGAUAUCUAUUUUUCAUUCUUCUCUUUCUUAUUUUCUUUUCUUUUUCCCUUUAUCAUUCCCUUUUUUCUUUCUUUAAAAAACUCAAAUAAUUUAUGUCUGAAUUUGCAUGAAAGUUAGGAAGGGGAAAAAAAAAGAGAAUUUACACCACAAAUUGGAAAAGGCAAAAGAUGUUUCAUCAACUUACGGCUGUCUCCCAACACUCAGAUCUGAUAAUACUCUCGCAAGAUUUUUCAGAUCACAAUGCUGCAAUCGGCUUGCAAGUAUUUUAUUGAAAUGUGGAUGAGUUCUUAAACUGCACGAUGUAAACAUACUUAACAUGUUAGCAAUUGGUAUGGCACAAAUAUCUCAUGUAGCACAAAGCAAGAGUAGAUGGCAAAAUCCUAUAGAGAGGAUCUCAUCAAUACCUAUUCCAGAGAUCUCCAGAAUACCAAGCAUCUAAAAAGGGCUCUAAGCCAGAAGAAGCAAGAGAGCAGGCAGCAAAAUCAUCCUUGGCCCUACGUACUUUUCUUGCUUCUUCAUCUAUCAAUCCAGGACUUCCAGAUAUUAUAACAGCUCCAGAAACCUUCCAUCAAAGAUAUUGAACAAUCAUAUCAACGGAGAAAUUUUCUGCAAAAUACCAUAGAAAAUAUUCAUUUAGUAUACCUUGUCAUUGUAUCUUAGAGCCAUGUAGAGUGAAAUCCUUGCUCCCAUAGAAUAACCAACAAGAACAACUUUUCGACAUUGUAGGCUGUCAAACAACUGCUGUAAUAUUUUUGCAAAGGCCAUAAUUGACAACCCUGGUUCCUCUAAACCAUAAUCCUGGCCUAGCAAAUUUGAUCUACCAUGUCCAGGUAGGUCCACUGCAAUGCAUCUAGCUGAGCCUGAUAUAGCCUCCAUAAUAGAGAUCCAAUCUUCUCCAGUUCCAAGGAAUCCAUGAAGAAACACUACUACACUACUCUGCAUACCUCAGAUUGUGCAUAAAAGUAUAUCAUUGGGUAGUUCAAGGUUAAUGAGAAAUAUAAAAACUUGUCACCAUGUUAAAUAACAAUAUUUUACAACCAUAAUUGAUAGAAAUAGACUUAUCAUGAAAGCAACCAAGCAGGAAAAAUAAGAUGACAUCUGGUUUCCUUUGUCAUGAUUUUUCCUUAUUUUUUUGCCCAGACAAAUUCAGCAACAAUAUAUUGCAGGAAACUUCUUCAACUAGCUAUUAGCAUUCCCAGAAUACAUUAAAAUUUGACUACGUACAUCAUCGUUCUUUCCAAUUUCUUGCACGUUAAGACAGAUGGAGGUGCCUUCAAGAUCAGCCACAAAUUCAUAUGCAUGAACUUCUCUGAAAGUAAAAUCACCACCAACUGCAUCUUGGUUGAAUUGAAAGCGCUGCAGGAUUUGUCCAGCGUCAGUAACAGAUGCCUCUACAACACCAUUGGAAGGAUUAUAGCCAAACAUUAAAGGCCUUCUGCUAACAUCUUCCCUAAGCCAUUGAUAAGUUCCAAGACCGUGGGCUACGCAAGAGUUUUCUUCCUUGUUAAGAAUUCUACCUGUAUCUAACUUCAGCAGGUCAACAUACCGUGAGAACAGAAUUAAAGCUGACAAACCCAAGGAACUUUCAAAUGUGGCACUGAUAACAGCCAUCUUUCCCUGCUGGUGAGCCCAUCGCGCAAGCAAUGCUGCAUUUUCAAAACCUCCAACAACGCUUGGUUUGAUAACCUGACAUGAUUUGGAAACUGCUUUUAUUUGUAGUAACAAAGUCAAAUCCAGCUACCUAGUUACUGCAACUGUAAGCCUACUUUGAUCACGAUCCCAAUUUUGAUAAUAAUUGACUUUGCCUUUGAAACUUCAUUAGAUGCAGCAAUCAUGAAGUUCAGUCUCUUAUUUUCAGUUUACAUACGGUGACAUCCUUCCAAACAUAGAAAGUGAUGCAAGAAUAGGUACAUAAGAUAAAGUAGAGGAUUCACUUCAUAUGAAUAGGAUGAAAAGAGUCUCUAAUGACUGCAGCUGUAGUCAUUACUUUUGUUUUUAUUUUUUUGUUAAGAUAGAGGGGGGUGAUCUUGCUCCCUGUCCUUUGCAAGUAAAUGGGUUACAAGAGACCGGAUGAUUCAUUCACGAAAUUACUUUGGACCAAUAAGAUCGAAUUUUUUAUGCAGAUCAACUCAUAUAUACAAAUCUAAUAGGAAAGAAUUCCUUUUUUAAAUAAGUAUCUGAUAGGGAACAAUUUCCAUAUAUAAUAUCUGUGUGCAACAAUUAAAAACAUGCCACAUUCUAAGUAAUGAUAGACCAUAAUACCCUGCAGACUUACGAAAGCAACUAUCAUUGGGUGAGUGUACUUUGCAAGCACAAUAAGGUGAUCUUUUCUUAUACUGUUGAUAGUUUCAUCCAGAGCUACUGGUAAGCCAGUCUCCUCGCAGAACUUGAUUAUAUCAUCUUCAUCAUUAACAGGCUCCUGAAAUAACCAACAUUUAAUUGAAGCAUCUAAUAAUGGAACAGAGAAAUAAUGUCGAGAAAUGAAUGCCUAACAUUUAGCCAAAUUAUGAUGUCGAAUUGUCUGAACAUUAAAACAAUGGCCGAGUGACAGGACACAAGCAAUUUACCCUUUUCUAAACCACCAAUCCCUGAAAUUAGGUAUCCAGUAGAUUGAACCUUUGCAACUUAAAGAUUAUAAUGCUGCCUCAUAGUUACGGUAAUUUAAUGCCUCAGGAUGUUAUUUCGUUAAUGGAUAUCUUCACAAUCAUGUCUUAUUAUUGCCUUUUGCAACUAUCUUAACUUAUAUUCAAUUCAAGACCAAAAUCUCUUUCAUACCACUUCAGUAAUGUAACCUAGUAACUCAUUUUAUCACUGUAUUGCUCUAUUUGUGUGGUGUAGAAACAUAAAGGUCAUCGAAUAAAUAUUCUGAUAUGCAAGCAAAGCUGCGUAUUCUGAUGUAAAGACCAAGAUAUGUUGAGCUUCAGCACAAAUAUUAGUUGAAUCUACAACAUCAAAGGAAGCAAAAAAGGAAAGAGGAAAGGUCAAUGGCUUCUGAAGAAACAGAUGAUAAAAUGCGUCUAAAUCUGUUGACAAGCUUAAUUGUACGAGAUGAAUCUUAAUUACUAGCUUGAUUGUAGGAACUUUGUUUCCCAAUUAGGUGUAACUAAAUAUUCUCUUAUUAUUUUCUUUCCUAGAAAAGUCGUAGAACUCUUUGUAUAAAUACCCAUACUCAUGAGAUGCAAGGAUAUACUGAAAUAAAAAGAACUUCUCACUCAAAUUCUACAUGGUAUCAGAGUCAUUGAUGCCUUUUAAGGUUAGUCUAUGAGUAUUUCUCCCUCGCAGCAAUAAGGUUAUCUUUUUUCCAGAAGAAGGUUGAGUUUUAUCCCUUCUUGAAGCUAUUCGUAACUAAACUCUGCUCCUGGCAAAGUUGUAAGAAAAUGCAUACCACCACAGGCCCUAGCCGUUGCCAGAAACAACACCAGACACAUCUCUUGAGAGAAGUUGGUAUGACAGGCUACAAACCAACAAAAUUGCUCAUAGAUAGCAAUCACAAUUUACAAACAAGGGUUGGAAGUCGGUUGAUUAAGAGAUAUCACAAAUUGGUUGGAAGACCCAUUUUUCUCUACCAUGCCAGACCAGUCAUAGCCUAUUUAGCCAGCUUGGUGAUUCAAUUAAUGCAGGUCCCCGAGAUCCUCAUAUGUAAGGCAUCUUUCACAUUUUGCAAUGUUUGAAGUCUGCUCCAAGGAAAAAUGUUCGUUUUUCUCCAAAGAUUAUAACCUCCAAAUAAAGGCCUUUACAGACGGGAUCGGGCUGGAUCUCUAGAUGACAGAAGAUCUACAUCUGGGUAUUGUACACGUGAAGGAGUAAAUUCAGCUACUUGGAGAAACAAGAAGCUAAGUGUAGUUGCUAGAUCAAGUGCAAAAGCAGAAUAUGAGUUAUGGCCAAGGUAUUUGUGAACUUUAGCUACAAAAUUUUCUAGAGGAAUUGAAGACUCUCUGGAAUAGGGACGUUUUUCUUGUUCUGUCACAACAUGGUUGCCAUUAGUAUAGCUCGUAAUCCUGUACAGCAUGAUCGAACAAAACAUAUUGAAAUUGAUCUACGCUUCAUUAAAGAAAAGGUUACAAGUGGCAUCUUGAGUUAGUUUCAUGUGUCAUCAGAAAACAGUUAGCUGAUGUGUUUACCAAAGGUCUCAACAAACAAAUUUUUCAUACACUGGUUUGCAGUUGGGCAUGUGCAACAUCUAUGCACCAAUUCGAGGGGAAGUUUGGUCCUAGUUAAUUACUAGUUUGAUUGUAAGAAGAUUAUACCCUAAUUAGGUUUAAGUAAAUAUUCUCUUAUUAUUUUCUUUCCUACAAUAGGUGGACAUAAGAAUAUACUGAAAUAUAAAGAAUCUUUUUCUUCUUUUGUCAAAUUCUACAAAAUUUUACUCCCUCCAUCAUGGAAGUGUUCUCGGUGGUUCUGCCCCUACUUAGAAAAUAGGCAUUUCAUCCCCUAACUGCUGGGGAAAUUAUGACCAGCUUACAAAUUUCUACCAAGUGAUUUGGUGCAUUACCUCAAUAUACUGCAGGCCACUAUCUUUUACAGAAAGGCCAAAUUUAACAGCUUCAUCAUAGUUCCAACGUCGAUUUGCAUCAGCACGCAGCUCAACCUCCCAACCAACUUUCUUUCUUACCUCCUUUAUAAUUGCAAUGUCCACGGUGGGAUCUGCUUGACGUGCUACCUGUGUAGGACAAAAAUUUAGUUGUUAAACUUUUUUAACAAAUUGGGAUCAUAAAAGCUUCCACUGAAAGUAACAAAAUUACGACCAAGUUCCACAUUUUGUAAAUGAUAUUCCCACCUUCAGCUUUAUAACAGUAAAUCCUUCUUUGACAAGUGUGGUUGCAACAAGAGCCAUUUCAUUGGGACCACCAUUAGACUCAAGCAGUGCACAAACUUUGACAUCUAAAGAACUCCCAGUUGCUUCUUCUGUUUGUCCGCAGAGUACAUUCAACAAGUUUGAACCUUCUCUAGCUGCAAUAGCAUUGAGGACAGCCAUCUCCAGGCCAAAUCUCACACUAGGGAACAUUGAAGUGGGCUAGAAAUGAAGAGAACAUAAUUCAGAACUAGUAAAUUUGAAGAGAUAUAAGGGACAGCCCGAGGCACUAAGCUCGUACUAUGCGCAGGGUCCAGGGAAGGGCCGGACCACAAGGGUCUAUUGUACGCAGCCUUGCCCUACAUUUCUGCAAGAGGCUGUUUCCACAGCUUGAACCAGUGACCUCCUGGUCACAUGGAAACAACUUUACCAAUUACGCCAAGAAUCCCCUUCAACUGCAGCAUUUCUAGAUGUGCCUAUCACUAUCCCUCAAAAAAAAAAAAAAAAGAUGCAUCAACCUACCUGGAUACCUAAGCUUUGCCACAACCAACGAGAAAAUGAACCCUUCAGCAAAGGAAGGGAGUGGUCAAUAGUAACUCCUUCCAAAACAUAAAUAAGGAAUUGAAGCUGCUCUUCCACAUCAAGUAGGUUUUCUUGGUGGACCUCAAGCGGUGCAACCUGUUUAUAAUAGAUGACAACCGAAAAUUUCAGCUUUCCAGAGUUCUGUCGAGGAAUUGGAGAGAGGAAGGCAAGGGGAUCAAGAGAGGGAGAGGGACGAGCAAAGCAAUACAUUGUUAAUAAUUUUAAAGCUUAUUCUUGAAGAUUUGGUUGGUCAAGAAAUUCAGGGUUACAAGUUGAAUAUCUUAUAUGCACUUCAUUUCUCUCAAGUGAAAAAGGACAAACAGCAAGAUGAAUAUCUCCAAUUAAUGUUUCUGGAUAUACAAGGAAAAGUUCAUCAAUGUACUAUAUCCAAUUUUGUUAGGUUUAGAGUAUCAUACUUUCUCCUGACCUAAUUAUCAGGCCGACCAGGUUUCCUUUUAAUGACUCGUGAAUUAUGCCUGUUCUGAUUCAACUUCAAAAACAAUCAUGCCUGUUAUGGCAAGAUAAUGUAUUGCAUCUAUGUACAGAAAGGAAUGUUUAACUGAGGCUUCAACUACUGAACAGCUGCACCAUCUGUGUCAAGCAGGAGUAUCAUAGUAUGAAAGGAAAAACUAUCCUCAACGCCUUAAAAAAAGGUAUUAGCAGUCACCUUCAUCCUAGCUUAUCUCACUUCAUCAUUUUUUGUUGCAAGAUGACCGGCUAUCACAGUUCUAGAGCAGCUAAUUUAUGACAUGCUCAAGACAUUGUUAUCGACUUUGGAUUGCAUGUAACCCUGCUCUACGCUAACAGUUUCUCUUAUUUCUAUGAUGUUGUAAAGAUAUGGCACUAGGCCUAACUCAACCCCAAAAGCUAGCUCAUGAGGUGAGGAUUGUCCAAGUCCAUAUAAGUAGACCGCCUGUCCAUUCCCUAACCAAUGUGGGACUUUCACCCACUCUAACAGAUAUAAUGGGAUUAUUAGAAAAUAAGACUAAUGAUGAUUACCAAUAUGUGCAACUCAUAACAUACUUGGUACAAUAAAUUUAUGUCCUAUUUCUCUCUUCUCAAAAGGUUUGCAUUAGUUACUCUCGCCGGAAUCACCAACAACUUCAUCAACCACGAGCUAUCACCUUCUAUGGUAGCUCACCUAGCCUCCUUUCUUCUUUAGGCCUUUAUUCAUUAUUCUAUCAUGGGAGAUAAUAGGAUAUACUUCAACCAAGUUUUCAAGUCGUACGACAUCACCAGAUGGAUUUCCGACAAUACUUCUUGGUAUGACUGAGUGGAAAGAAGCAGGAACAUGUUAAGGAGGGUCACACUUAGCGAAAAGGUGAUGGAAUGGAUUUGCUUCAUUCUCAGAGUAGCCUCAUCUGAUAAAAAAAGAUCGGGUGAGAAGAUGGAGAUACAAGGACCAGGCAGCAGAAUUCUUUGGUAACAGGAAAUAUAAUGCUCAUGGGAGAUACGUGAGCAUUUUAUCACUAAAGGGACCGGACAGAUCAGUCAUCAUUGUACCUGAAACAGACAUUAAUGCUGGGUGGAGGAGUGUGGCAUUUAAGGUACAAAGUUUUAUUAAAUGCACUCCACAAAAGGUGAUGAAGAUCCAGUACGGGACAUCUGAUAAAAAGGUGCCUUUUGCAAAGGUAGUCUCAGACAGUAAAUGGCAGAGCAACAAUUCAGAGACUUCCACAUCUAAAGGGAAAUUGACUGAAACAAAUGAAGCUGUUAAGAACAGAGAACAAGGAGUGCUUGGAAGGUGCAUAUUUGGGUCUUUUGGUAUGAACAAAGCAGAAAACCCUACUCUAUCUGAUGUUAGACGCUGGACUUCAACAGUGUGGAAGGUCCUUGGAGUCAAUAUAUUCGAGAUGAUGGAUGGUUGCUUUCUAUUCGAGUUCCCCAAUAGAUACAUGGCGGAGCAGAUCCUCCGGGGAGAUUGGAUAUGGAAGGGAAUCAGAAUAAAAUUAGAAUGGCGAAAUCCUUAUGCAGCCUGUGAACCAUCUACAUAUAAGCCUAAAUCCACUUGGAUUAGGGCUAUGGGUCUGCCUAUGCAUUUAUAGACGGAUGAUAUUUUCCAUGAGAUCGGUGAACUUUGUGGUGGUUAGCCGGCGACAGAGGAGGAAACAAAAUUGAGAAAUCAUCUCAAGUGGGCAAGGAUCGAGAUACGAGGCGAUGGCCGGAGCAUCCCAAGUGAAGUAUCUAUCUCUAGAGAUGGAAUCAAAUUCCUCAUCCCAAUCUGGGCAGAGAGAAACUCAAUUUGAGUUGUCGCCGGAAAACGGUGGAGAAGUCACCGGAGAAGAGAAGGAGGAUCGUGGGAAGACCCAGCGGAUAAUAGAGUUUCAAACCUCUAUAUCCAAGUAUAUAGGGCUGAUCGAUGUUGACAGAGCAGAGGGUGAACACAUGAGGACAGCUGACCAAGUUUUUAAAAUUUCUGAAGGGACACUUGCGGAGCAUGUGCAGAAUUUUUAAAAAGAUUUGGGCUUCAAAACAUCUGGGCCGGAUCAGGCGAUAGCUAUUUUUAAUAAUUUAAAUCCACAGCCCAAAAUCGACUUAUUUGAAGUGGUAAUUGAUGAAUCUCAGGAAGAUUACUCUUCAGUUCAGCGCAUGCAAUCCAGAAACAUAACAUCUGCAGAGGUCGGAGAAGUUAAUGGAGUCCAGUCGCGAGAGGAACGUCUCGAAGAAGAUAAGGGAGCAGAAAUUGACUGUGAAACCAGCAACAAAGUACCUGCAUCCGAGAAACAAGGGGAAGUCGUCACAAGUGACCUCAAAUCACAACAAAAACAAUUGGAGAUAGUUGAUUCUGGGGAAAUUUGGGAUGUACAGGAGAUCGAACCCCUAUGCAUCCAUGUUAGACCUGUUGUUACUAAGGUCUAUAAGCGCAAGAAAAAGGGUGAAAAUAAAGCAUAAAUGUAUCUAUUUUAUUUAUUAAUUAUUACGUGGAUGUAUUUCUAGUAGUUUCUACCAGUUAACUAGCAGUUACUUAACAGAUUAGGCAGUAUUUUGUGAUAUAUUGUAGCAGGAAGAAAAGAAUAAAAGGGGGAAGAACAUUCUGUAGGAUGCUUCUGGCAAAUUAGGAGGUUAAGGUUUCUCGAAAUACCUUGGUUGUUGAAGUACUCUCUCUAGUUGUCGCUUGUAAAACUCAUUCUACUUGUUGGUAACAAUUAAUAAUAGUUGAAGUUGUUGUUUCUACUUUUACAUUAUUUCUGGAAGUGUACAGAUUCUUGUUAAGGAAAUUUCAGGUUCCUAACAAUCCAACAACAAGAAGCAUUAAUUGAAUCAGAAAGAAGGGCUACAGCAUGGGUACAACAGAAUUUCCUCAAACUUCAUAAGAUGUUUGGAGUAAAUUUUCAGGGACUUGAAGAGGAGGCACUAGAGCUUCUAAAGCAGGUAGAUGCAAGCAGACAGGCAAGAAGAAUGGAACAAACAACGAAAGUUAAAAGAAAUAGACACAAAGGUGCGCAAGAACUGAAGAAUCUUAUAAAUUUUGAUGUCAAGUUCAAGAGUACUGGUGAUAGAACAAAGGGGACGGACGUCUUCAAUCUGCCUCAUGAAGAUCAAAUUAAUAUCAUGGAUUGUUAGAGGGUUAAAGGGACAGGGGAAAAGGAUAAUAGUACAUAAUUUGAUUCAGGAAUGGAAAGCAGACAUAGACUGCCUCCAAGAAACAAAACUAGAAGGGAAUGUGCAGGAACUUAUCAAACAAAUUUAGGCAGGAAGAUGGAUCAAACAUGCAUGCUCAGAGGCUAGUGGAACUAGAAGAGGAAUUCUAAUUUAUGGGAUUCAAGAGCUUGGGAAGGGGAAAUAGUACAAGUUGGUGCUUACACGCUAUCCUGCAAGUUUAAGGCGCAACUUUGUGAUUUUGACUGCAACAUAACAGGAGUAUAUGCUCCUAAAAGUAAAGUAGAGAGGAGACUAGCAUGGGAGGAACUAGCUGAUAUAAGAGGACUAAUGGAUGGACCAUGGGCCAUAUGUGGCGAUUUUAAUAUAUGCAGAUUUCCAUCUGAAAAAAGGGAUUGUAAUAGGAAUACUUCAGCCAUGAAAAAAUUCUGAGAUUGCAUAGAAACAUGGAACUCAUUGACCUGCAUCUAACUGGUGGCAGCUACACCUGGUUCAAAGGGGAUAAUCAUACCACUGCUUCUAGGAUUGAUAGGAUACUAAUAUCCACAGAAUGGAACAACCUCUUCAGCAGCUUAAAACAAACCACCUUACAAAGAGUGACCUCUGACCAUGUGUCAAUUGCACUCCUUGGUGGCCAAUGGGAACAAUCUAAGUCAUACUUUAAGUUCGAAAAUUGAUGGCUGAAUUCUGAAGGAUUUGUUAACAAAGUGAAGGAAUGGUGGAGUGGUUUUGAGUUCUAGGGAAACCAGACUGUUUUGGCAUGUAAAUUCAAAGCACUCAAAGGUAAGUUGAAAGAUUGGAGUAGGAUGGAACAGGGGAAUUUGAAACUAAAGAAGAACAAUAUUUUGAAUUAGAUGGCUGAGAUAGAGUCCCUUUUGAACAAUAGAGCUCUAAUUGAAGAGGAAACUGCCAGAAAAGCAACGUUCUUUAUAGAAUAUGAAGGUUGUCGAAAGAAUGAAGAGGUGGCCUAUAGACAGAGAUCAAGGGCCCUAUGGCCUAAGGAAGGGGAUAGAAAUACCAAAUUCUUCCACCAAACUGCUAAUGCUCAUAAGAGGUACAACCAUAUUGAUCAAUUGGAAAUUCAGGGAGAGACUAUUUCUGAGCAAAAUAGAAUCAAGGAAGAGAUCAUAUCCUUCUACAAGAAGCUAUAUACAGAACCUGAAGAUUGGAGACCUUCUGAGAAAAUCAACAACCAUCCAACCAUUACAGAAGCUGAAAAGGAAGCCUUGCAAACAGUUUUUGAGGAACAAGAAGUGUUUGAGUGUCUAAAGUUAUGUGCUAUAGACAAAGCGCCUGUUCCUAAUGAUUUGAUGAUUUUACAAUGGGAUUCUAUCUAAAGUGCUGGGAGGUUAUUAAAAAAGACAUUAUGGAGGCUUUUCACAACUUUUACUCAAGUGAAAUUUUUGAAAAAAGUUCCAAUGCAACUUACAUUGCUUUGAUUUCUAAGAAGACAGGAGCUAAGGAACUCAAAGAUUUCAGACCCAUAAGUUUGAUUGGUAGCUUUUACAAGCUAAUAUCUAAGGUGUUAACAAAAAGGUUGAAGAGAGUGGUAGAUAAAUUGGUGGACAAACAACAGAUGGCAUUUAUCCAAGGCAAACAAAUAAUGGAUGCAGUGCUUAUAGCUAAUGAAGAAAUUGACUCUAGAACUGCACAAGGAAGAUCCGGUAUACUAUGCAAACUUGAUAUAGAAAAAGCCUAUGAUCAUGUGAAUUGGGAAUUCAUCCUUAGUAUGCUGAGACAAAUGGGCUUUGCGGAGAAAUAGAUCAACUGGAUCAAGUUUUGCAUAUCUACUGUGAAAUUUUCUAUUCUCAUUAAUGGGUCUCCUGAAGGUUUUUUCAAUGCAAAUAGAGGAAUAAGACAAGGGGAUCCUCUAUCACCUUUUCUCUUCAUCAUAGCAAUGGAAGGACUCAACAACAUGUUGAAUAUUGCUAAGGCAAACGGAAGUAUACACGGUUUUGAAGCUAGCAAUGUAGUUGGUAGAAGCAUAGAGAUCACGCAUUUGCAGUAUGCGGAUGACACCUUAACUUUUUGUGGUGCUAAAGAGGAAUAAUUGUUAAUCCUAAGACUAAUCCUAGUCUAUUUUGAGGCUAUAUCUGGUCUCCACAUUAACUGGAACAAAAGUCACUUAUAUCCAAUUAAUGUGGUUCCUGAUAUGGAGCACCUGUCUUUGAUCCUAGGAGUGGUAGGCACACUACCUUCAAUCUACUUGGGAAUGCCAUUGGGUACAAAGUCUAGAUCCAUACACAUUUGGAAACCAAUUCUGGAAAAAUGUGAAAAAGCUAACUAGAUAGAGAACACAAUACUUAUCAAUGGGAGGGAGAUUGACUUUGAUAAACUCUGUGCUAGAUGCCCUACCUAUAUAUGUUUUCCAUCUUUCAUAUACCUCAAUCAGUUGCUCAGAGGUUGGACAAAAUCAGAAGGAACUUUUUAUGGCAGGGGAACAAGGAAAGAAAAUGUAUUCAUCUAAAUGCUUUCAUCUGGUCAAAUCAAAGAAUAUCAUUAGAAGUAAAAAACAUGGAGGUUUAGGAAUCAAAAUCCUUAAGAUUCGAAGUAAAGCUCUUAAGGUUAAGUGGCUAUGAAGAUACUAGCAGGAGAAUCAAGCUUUGUGGUGUAAAGUCAUCAAGAGUAAGUAUGAGGAGCUCAAUAAAUGGGUAACAAAAGAGGUACACACUCCAUAUGGUGUUAGCCUCUGGAGGUUUAUCGGAGUUUUUUGGCCAUUCUUAAGUAGCCAUUAAACUAUUAAGGUGCAAAAUGGGAGCAAAACUAGCUUCUGGAUUGACAAAUGGAUGGGUCCUGAGAACCUAAAAGAUCUUUUUCCAGAUAUUUUUCCCUUGGCUCAAGACCAACAAAAGACGGUUGCGGAAAUGUGGACAUAACAGGGGUGGGAUCUGAUUUUGAGAAGACAUCUUAACGACUGGGAAAUUCCCAGAAUGAUUGAACUUUAUAAACUUUUGGAGAACUUUCAAGGUUUGAGAAAAGGAGAAGAUUAUUUAUGGUGGCAAGGGUACAGUAAAGGCACAUACAAGGUAAAAGAUGAUCAUCAGAGCCUCAAAUGGUCAUGGAAGCAUAUCUGGAAAACUAAAGUGCAACACAAAGUGGCAUGUUUCACUUGGCUUCUGGCCAAUGAGGCAGUCCUGACCUUGGACAAUGUCUCCAAGAGGGGAAUCUCUUUAUGCAAUAGGUGUUCUUUAUGUGGAAAAGAUGCAGAGACUAUUAGACAUCUUUUCCUGCAUUGUAGAUUCACUAACCAGUUGUGGCAGAUUUUCCUAAAUCUCAAAGGCAUUUCUUGGACUAUGCCUAGCAAGAUUGAUGAUACUCUGUUCAGUUGGGAUGAGGCUAGUUUCGGAGCUAGAGACAGAAGCAGAUGGAGGAUGAUUCCGGCCUGUAUUUGGUGGACUACAUGGAGAGAAAGAAAUGAGAGAUGUUUUGAGAAUAGGAGCAACAACUUACAGGAGGUCAAACUUAAAUGUAUUUUGUUGUUCUAUUUUUGGUGUACAAAUGUCUACUCUAAUGAGACUGAGUCAAUUCUAGAUGUUUUAGGAUCCAUCUAGAGUAGGUUUAGCUUAGGGGAAGUUCAUACUCCCUUUUGUUUGUUUGUAAAUAUGAUUUUCUUCAGUACUACCUAAGUACUGCUUUAAUACAAAUGUUACCAGUUCCAAAAGAAAAAGACUAAUGAUGCUUAGAGGCAAGGCCAAAGAUGACAAUUACCAUGCCAUCCAACAUCUGUUGUGAGAAGCCCAUGGUGAGAACUUAAUAUUUAAGGUCAAACUUUUCCAUGACCACUGACCGGUUCAUUAGAUUGACACAUUCAAUCAUCUAUAUGCAAGAGAAAUACAUAUACAAAGAAACAUUAAGAUGAUGUGGCAAUCCCAGGAUCGGAAAGCAUUCACAAAUAACUAGGGAGUUGGAUGAUAUACAUACACAACAACAACAACAACAUACCUAGUAUAUUCCCACCAAGUGGGGAUUAGAUGAUAUAUACAUGUAUAUAUAUAACGAGGUUUUACAUUUAGCUGUAACUAUGCACUUUAAGCAGGUAUGUCACUAUCACAGUGCAAGACCAUGGCACAUAUUGUUUGCCUUGGCCCAACAGACCUCACAAAAUUGUCCCUUGGGCUACGUCAUCAUUGAAUCCCAAAGCGUGGGUACCAUGACAACUUGUGCUGUGUUUUGUAUAGCAUUUUCCCUCUUUUCAGAUGUGGGAUUUGCCUAAGGUGUAAUGUGUAACUCUACCUCAUAAGCUUGUCAUACUAGAUGUCUACCCCUUCUUCCUGACAUGCUCUCAUCAGUCCGCCCUAUGUCAAGGGGCUCACAUACACCCCCUUUUAGGGACUAAAUUUUCUCACUGAGGUUUGUCCGAGAAUCUUACUAUGAGGAUCAGACUCUGAUACUUAAUUUGUCACAAUCCAAAUCCCUGGCAUAUACUGUCAUCUUUGGCCCAACAAACAUCAUGGAUUUGUCCCAUGAGCUCGCGGGCAUCAAGCCAAGAAACACACAUACCAUGUGAAGUGAUCCAUAUUAUGUAGCAGUUCGCUUUUCUCUCCCUUUUUUGAUUUGAGAUUGCCUAAGGUGUCAUGUGUAACCCUUUUCCCAAAAACUUGCCAUUCAUUCCUAUUGACCCAUCCUCAUUAGCCUACCUUCCAUCAGGACUGUCACAAUAGCAUGAAUUCAGCUGAUGUUAUGUUUCUGAUAAGGGUAAUGUACAGUUACUUGCUUUCAAUUCAAUUUAUUUUAUUUUAGUUGGUUAAAUUUUUUGUACAGUUUGGAGAAUCCAUGUGAGGUACUCGUACCUAUUUCAUAACCACUCAACAUUGAUAAGUCAAAGCAAACAAAGGAUCCAUGUAACAUAGCUAAAUGCUACCUAGGAAAAUUUCAAGAACAAUUAACCAUGCAUCAAUAAGCUGCUUAGUUGCCGGACUAUCUACCAAACAUGUGAUCCUCCCGAGAAGGGUGAGAAUCAAGAAAUGAUGGUGAAUUACCUCUCCAUAUCCAGUACUACCAUCUUCAAGAUACAAACUUAUAACGAAGCCUUCUCGGUGGUAGGUGGAUAUAUGACAGGCAGAAGUUGAAGUAGGAGGAGAGGACAGCUGAAUUCUACCAUAAAAAGUAUAAAAAGUCAUGUCAACUUUUCAGAACCCCAGACAGAAAUGUGUGCAGUAUAUAUAUGCUAACCUAUAUUUUGAGUACUGCAUUUUACCAACUUUGCUGGGUAUCAACCCAUCAUUCGUGGAAUUCAAAACAGUUAGUUUUGAAAGGCUGUUGAUAGCAUGAUCCAAUCCUUGCUGUGAAACUUUUCUCAGCAUACUGAAAGAGGAAAAUAUCUUAGUUGAGAAUGUUCUCAUUAGUCAAUUUAGUAAGACAUUGGAUUUUAACAUGACUACCUAUGAAAGGCAGCGUUGGCAUCAAUGGUGCUAUCAACCUCUAUAACAAAAUCUUCCUUGUCCAUUUGUGAUGCUAACAGAGCAUCUUGAAGCUCCAUUUUGCUCUGUACUUUCAAAUGCUUCACACUGCAAACAAAGUAUAACAAAUUUAACAAGGCACCAAGUUUGGCUAAUAUGGGCUGUGAAAAGGUAAUAUCAACUUAACACCAAUAUCUGUAUCAAACUAUUUGAAGGAACUUGUCUCAAUUUAAUAAAACUAAUUUCUUACUAAAGAAAUAAGUUCUAGAAGAAUGCAAUGCAACUUUGUAAGAUAAAACAUACAUAAUUAUGGUGCGAGAGACAAGCCAUUACAGUGGGAUAAUAUAAUCUGGCAACCUAACAUUCUAACCAACCCUCACAUUACUAUUCUUUUCUAUUUUCGACAACCAUUAUAGUGUUACAAGUUUUAUUUCAUCUGAACAUUCUGGCCGCAUCAAACCUUUUUUUAAUGACUGUUCUAGCUGCACCACUUUUCUUUCUAGCCAUCAUUUUGGCAAACCAGAGCCUCUUUUCUAUGAUUGCUCUAAAUGGCUAGACAUCUCUUCUUGAUGACCAUUCUAGAAGCAUCACACCUCUUUCCGGGCAACUGUUCUGGCAGCACAUUGCCCCUUUUUUCAGUGACAAUUUUGAUACCUCUUUCAGCCAUUCUCAGGAAGCCUGCCACUAUAACUUUUUCAUCUAUAUUCGGUGACCAUUACCUUUUUCAUAUGUUUUUCAAACAACCUUUCCAUCAACCACCUGAUUUAUAUUUUUCAAAAAUAAGUAAAUCCAAGUCGGAUUUGGCACCUUGAGUUUUAGAAGGCAUGUCAGUAUGUUGUGUUAGUCUUGUAAUUUUAGCGUAAGAAUACUCGAAGAGUUAAGUACUUAAGUUGGAUACCGUCUCACAUUGGACAAAAUUACAUGUUGUAUUAUGUUUGACACCUGUAGCUGUCUAGUAUUCAUCAAACGUCUUCAUUCAAUCUCUAAUUAACUCACAAUAAGAGAAACAAAAGUUGGGUCAAGCAGGCCCCUGCCGAUAGGCAAAAGCUACUAAGUCUAUACUAAAACUAUGAACUCUGAAACAAGACGUGAUAUAUUCAUCUUUAAAGAUGUAACAUACUUGGGUCAAAACCAGAAAAUUCAUGCAUCCAUCUUUAAAGGUGCAAUAUACAUAUUAUAUUGACAUUUUAACAAAACAACAUACAAGAAGCAUAUUACUUUCACUGCAAAAUGCUUGUCCUUUAUGGCUUUUAAACAGCUUGAUGACGGAUGGAUAUAGGGGAAUGAGAAAAUGAAACUAAGGGAAUGAGAAAAUGAAACUAACUGUAAUCUACAAGGAAAGAAGUUCGCCAUCGAAGGGUGUUUGUACAAGUGAACUACUGGCUAAAAGGUGAACUUCAUAAUAAGGUUGCUGCUAGCGUAGGAAGUCCUAUAAUCUCUAUGAAGAGAUAUUCAAAUAUAUAUCUUGAGUCCUUGUAAGUACGUAAAGAACUAAAUAUCAUAAAGGGGGGAGAUAUCCUGAUGCAACCCUGAAUCCAAUGCUAAGAAGCUGCGAACCUGCUUGCUUCAAUAAAACUCCCUUACACCCUAAGACACGUGUUCAGGGAAAUCAAGUUGAAGGGGAGCAAUAGGUUCUUCAUUACACUUGAGAAGGACCUGUAAUAGAUGUUUCAAGAGCAACUGAUAAUGAGGAAAAAAGAAAAGAAUAAGAGAUCUAAUGGAGUAACUGACAGAAGAAAAAAAUGUAGAUAUAUUGGUUCUCUAGAAGUUAAAAAUGAAGAUCCCAGAACCCAAGUAGGAGACAAAGCAAGCAGUUUGAGUGAACCACAGAAAUGUGUGUUCUUCAAGAAAUUUGAGUCAUGCAUAUGCCAUGCUCAAUAACGAAGCACUGGAAGGCCACAAGUCCAAAAUGGAACAACAUACAUCAUGAAAGAGUAGCAACCAAAGAAGACAAUGAGGAGAAUAGAUUAUUGUACAUGGAGACAUCUCAAGGGUGUUUGUACAAGUUGUCCAUGAUACUCUUGUAAUGGCCCAUCGCGCUAAUGAUAUUGUCCGUUCUGGAUAUAGACAUGCCCAGCUUUAAAACGUGUGGAUAAGGAGUAAGGCUUGCUUACCUAUAUACCCAAUAUCUCUCUUAUGUUUUGUCGAUGUGCGACACCUCCCUCGGCUAGGGUGUCACAUACGGCUUAGCCCGCUAAUGAUAUUGUCCACUAUGUGUUUAGGCCCACACAGCUUUAAAACGUGCCACUAGGGUGUAAGGCCUGCUUAAUAGUAUACCCAAUAUCUCUCAUGUCUUUUGUUGAUGUGGGACUCUUCCCAAAGCUAGAGCGUCACAUACACCCCCUCUUAUGGACUCAGCAUCCUCGCUGAAAUUUGCCCCACCACAUGGGAUUUGCCUAAACUCAGUACUGAGGUUUACCCCGUCUUCCCAGGAUUUGCCUUAACUCAGUAAAACUCCGGCCCACCAUCGACAAGGUUGAUAAAAGAGUGACUCUGAUGCCAUUCAUGAUGGCCUAGCACACUAAUAGUAUUGUUCGCUUUGGGCCUAGGUCCACACGGCAUUAAAAUGUGUCACUAGGGUGCAAGACAUGCUUACUUAUAGAUCCAAUAUCUCGCGUGUUUUGUCAAUGUGAGACAUCUUCCUUGAGCUAGGGUGUCACAACUUUGGUGCCUAGUUUGAUAUUGUCCACCGUUGAGUCCCAAAUCAGAGUAGGAAGUGCAAUUUAGUCUCUUUAUAUGGUCUUGGGCAAUCCUCAAAGCUCAUUUGGAGUUGAGUUAGGGCCAAGGUCCAUUUUCUUACCAGUUACCACAGAGGAAUAUCUUAUCAGGAAUAAGAAGAUAAGAAGGUCAAUGUUGGGAGAGGCAGCAAAAAAUCAAGAUGCAACUUUAGAGCUGAAAACUGGAAGUGAAAUUGUGACAUUAAUACAAAAUUAAAAUCAUAUAUUAUCAGCAAUGUAUACCUAACGCAAACCAAAAAAAAAAUGUUGCCACUUCCAUUAAACAUCAAACGUUUCUUACCCAUGUGCCAUGCAUAGGUUGUGAAUUGAAACAUUAUGAGAUGUGUAGAAAUACUGGUCUAAAAUGCUUCUUGCAGUCAUAUUCAUAAGAGGAAGAAGACUGAAUAUGGCGCCACCACGGUUGUUAAUAACAACUAUAGUCAUGGGCUUCCGCAACAUCCUUCAAACAUAAAAGAAAUCUAUGUCAUUUGGUGAGUAUAACUCUUCAUGAAAUUUUCCAUACGUGAAGCACAAAGAUCUUUAACAUAAUAAUAUAUCAUCUAAAUCAUAUGUUAUGUUGGAAGUCAAAAUCAUAACAUUUGUUUACCACAUGAAAAAUUCAAGCAUGAUACAUAGGAUCUGAACUAGGAACCAAAACUAUCGACUACCUAGCAUAACGAGCAAUGGAUAAAAAGCAUAACAGUAUUUAAGGAGCAUGCAUAAUCAGUAGGAACUUGGGAUAAAAGACUUCCAUUCUAUCAAAAACAAGAAGUCCAGUAAAGAUAUUGAAGAAACCAAUCAUUUUGAAUUGAACUUUGGAACACAAAUACAAGGCAGAAGAGCAAAAACAUGAAAAAGGAAAUUCUGAAGCAUCAAUUAACACAAAAGAAAGAGCAAAUUGAAAAAGUAGCAACAAAGUGGGCGGAGAGGGGAGGCGGUGUUGCUUGCUGACAUGUUUUACCCUAAAACCGAAAGGCAAAUAUAAAAAGCAAAUAAGGAUAAUUAAAAAGAAAACUAAGAACAGUAAUUUCAUACCAUAACUUCAUUUGCGAAUUCGAGUUUUCCGAAGGAGGAACACCAUAUUACGUUUCGUAGUUAGCGGCCAAGACUCAGAUAGACUUUAUGCUCCUUAGGAAGGGUGAUAGAGCGCUAUGUAAAGACUGUAAAUUCAUACCUAGCGAGAAUCUUUUGACUCAACAUAGGUUAUUGAUGCUGGACUUGGUAAUCAAUAAGGCCAGAAAGAAGAGGAGUGUGGAGGCACGGCCCAGGAUUAAGUGGGGUAGCUUGCCUUUGGCUAGUGCUUUGGAGAUGGGGGAGAAGUUGAAGAGUAGAGGGGCUUAAAGAGUAGAGGGGAUGUGGAUAGUAUGUGGGAGACGACUGCUAGUUGCAUUAGGGAGAUCGUUAGAGAGGUGUUAGGUGUCUCGAGAGGUUGAUCUGGCAAGCAUCGAGGGGACUGGUGAUGGAACGAAGAGGUUAAGAGGAAAGUGGAGUCUAAGAAGGUGGCUUAUGCUAAGUUGGUUGAGAGCAACGAUGAUGAUGAAAGGGAGACGAACAAGGAGGAGUAUAAGGUAGCUAUAAGAGAGGCUAAGUUAGCGGUUACACCGGCUAAGACAGCAGUUUUUGAGAGCUUGUAUACAGCUUUAGAGGAGAAAGGCGGGGAUAAGAAAUUGUAUAGGCUUGCCAAGGCUGGGAGCGGAGGGCCCGUGACCUUGACCAAGUGAAGUACAUCAAGGGAGAGGAUGGUACAGUGUUGGUUGAGGAUGUCCUCAUUAGGAAGAGGUGGCAGUCCUAUUUUCAUAAACUUUUGAACGAGGGGAACAAAGGUUUCAUGUUGGGGGACUUGGAGAAAUCUGAGGAGUGUCGCAAUUAUGGUUAUUGUAGGUGUAUCAAGGUUAAGGAGGUUAGAAGGGCUAUUUGCAGGAUGCGACGGGAUAGGGCGACGAGGCCAGACAAGAUUCCAGUGGAUUUUUGAGUGGCUGACAAGGUUGUUUAACAUCAUUUUUACGACGGCGAAGAUGCCUAAAGCGUGGAGGUGGAGUACGAUGAUUCCAUUAUAUAAGAACAAGGGAGACAUCCAAAGUUGCAACAACUAUAGAGGUAUUAAGUUGUUGAGACAUACCAUGAAGGUUUGGGAAAGGGUGGUAGAGUUGAGGUUGUGAAGGAUCAUGACUAUCUCAGAGAAUCAGUUCGAUUUCAUGUCAGGUCGCUCGACUACUGAGGUCAUCCACUUUAUGAGGAGAUUAGUGGAGCAGAUUCAGGAAAGGAAGAAGGACUUGCACAUGGUAUUUAUUGAUCUUGAGAAGGCUUAUGCCAGAGUUCCCAGGGAGAUUCUGUGGAGGUGCUUGGAGGCUAGAGGGGUACCCGUGGCGUACACUAGGUUGAUUCAGGACAUGUAUGAUGGCGCGAAGACUCGUGUGAGGACGAUGGUGGAGAUUCGGAGCACUUUCUGAUUUUGAUAGAGUUGCACCAGGGAUCGACUCUUAGCCCUUUUUUAUUUGCCUUGGUGAUGGAUGUUUUGACGCGAUAUAUUCAAGGAGAGGUGCCUUGGUGUAUAUUAUUUACUGAUGAUGUGGUACUGAUUGACGAGACUCAGGGAGGAACUAAUAAUAAGUUAGAGAUUUGGAGACAGACCCUCGAGUCUAAAGGAUUUCGGUUGAGCAAGACCAAGACGGAGUACUUGAAAUGUGAGUUUAGUGAUGUGUCGCAAGAGGCUGGCGUGGUUGUGAAGCUGAACUCUCCGAUCAUUCAGAAGAGGGAGAGUUUCAAGUAUCUGGGGUCUAUGAUUCAGGGCAAUAGUGAGACUGACGAGGAUGUCACGCAUUGUAUUGGGGCAGGGUGGUUGAAAUGGAGGCUGGAGUUUUAUGUGAUAAAAAGGUGCCCCCAAAGCUUAAGGAAAGUUCUACAGAGUGAUAGUCUGACAGGCUAUGUUGUAUAGAGCGGAGUGUUGCCAGUUAAGAACUCCCACAUCCAAAAGUUGAAGGUGGCGGAGAUGAGGAUGUUGCGAUGGAUGUAUGGUCAUAUCAGGAAAGAUAGGGUGAGGAAUGAAAUUAUUCGGGAGAAGGAGGGAGUGGCUUCGGUGGGGGACAAAAUGUGACAAAUGAGGUUACGUUGGUUUGGGCACGUGAUAAGGAGGGGCUCUGAUGCUCCAAUGCGGAGGUGUGAGACACUGGCUAUGGAUGAUUUUAGGCGGGGUAAAGGUAGGCCGACGAAAUAUUGGAGGGAAGUGAUUAGGCAUGAUAUGGAGCAGUUACAGCUUACGGAGGACAUGACCCUUGAUAGAAAGGUGUGGAGGACGCGGAUUAAGGUAGAGGGUUAAGGGGUGGGAGUGCGUUGGUAACAGUAGGGGAGCGUUCUUUAUUUGUGUCUGAAGUUUCUUGUUCGUGGUGUUUAGUGAUGUCUAUGAUUUCGGAUAGAUAUUUUUUAGUAUUAUCUUGUGGCUGUAGUAUUAUCUUGUGGCUAGAGGUGUUAGUUUAUUUUGCAUACUGUACUAGUUUAUAUGCAUUUAUGUUUUAUGUUUGCUAUACUGUUAUCAGUCCUAAGCUGGGGGUUUAUCGGAAACAGCCUCUCUACUUCACCUGAGGUAGUGGUAUGGUCUGCGUACACACUAUUCUUCCCAAACUCCACUAUGUGGGAAUACAUUGGGUAUGUUGUUGUUGAAACUUCAUUUGCCGAUGAUAAUACAUGUCACUAAUUGGACCAGCACUAAAGCAGCAUUGAAGGAUGUUAAACAAAAUGGAAAGAGAAAAGAAAAAUAACACUACUCACUGCUUGCUCAAAAGGGCCAACCCAUUUGUGUCAUGCAGAAAAGAAACGUCUCCAACUACACAAAGUACCUAAAACGAAGCACAAUGUUAAAUUCCACUAAAUCAUCUGUGCAUAAUGCAAUUACAGAAGAAAAAACUCCAGAACAGAAGUGAACCACAGAAAAAGGAAAAUGAUACUUCAUUGCUAAUAAUUUUGAAGGUCGAACAUUUUACAUGGACUGGACUCUAGAACUAAUUGAACUGAGUGAUAAUCUAAUUGCUAAGAAGUGUACAAGUUUAAGAAACUAAAUGAGGUUUUGCGCAGCCUUAAAAACUAUAUGAGGAAUCUUUGCCAGCCAUAGUGGAGUGUGAUAUUAAUACUUCAUACCACUUUUCAAUGGUGCCAGCCGAUUCUAUAUCUUACAUCACACCUUAGCCAGUGAGGGAAAAUAUUUGCUCCAAGAUUGUUCUUGACACAAAAGGCUAUGGAAUAAACCAGCCUAAGAAUUGUAGAGAGAAGCAGUUACAAGAAAGUAAACAAAGGUCAACUUCAGUGAUCACAUACAAUGAAAAAAAAAAAGAAAAGGCCAACACAAUGGCAGUUCUUAUUACACUACAUUCUCGGUAAGAGGAACGUGAUUCUGUAAUUAGAUUCCUAUGAACGCAGUGAUUAUUAACCAAAUAUUGUUUUUAGAUCAAAGUUUAAUCCACUCACUCGUUUGUUGCAUCCAACUGCAAAACCAGCAGCUGUGCUAAGCAAACCAUCAAUACCACUAGCUCCUCUAUUAGCAGCGACCUGAAUAAAGUGGCAAGGUAAUUCUGAGCUGAAUACGGCUGCAUCCCUGGUACGCUCUACCCAGUUACCGUUACAUGCGUACAUGUCUGCAUCACGUAUUGGCAUGCUGUUACCCAAAAAUACAGCAGACUCGCAGUGAAUAGCUUCCAGAGUCAUUUGUGCAACACAAGGCUCAGUCAAGGAGUACUCAGAAUUGAUUAGAAAUGAGAUGUCCCAUGCAGCCUACAUAACAGGAAUGAAGGUGAAUAAAAUAAAUAAGAUUGUGGCAAGGAAUAGUUAUGAGAAUAGGAUGAACAAUACACAACAACAACAACAACAACAACAACAACAUACCCAGUAAAAUCACACAAGCAGAUACACACAAGCCAUUAAUUACUAGCUGACUUAACAAGAAACAAACAUUACUAGCUGACUUAACAAGAAACAAACAUGUACUUGCUCUCCCUCAAGAAGCUUUCAAAACUAACCACUUCAUAAUUGAGGAUUCAUUUUAUGACAGUGAUGUCCAGUCCAGUUUGCACACUCCUUGACUAUUACACCAAUACCUGCCAUCUCCCACCAGUUUAGGCAAAUGGGAAAAAAAUCACCUAGUGGCAUUGACCAUAGACCAUGUUAAGUAUCCCACAUCGAAAAAGGGAUGGGUAAUUGGUCACCUUAUAUGGACUUGGGCAAUCCUCCCCUCAUGAGCUAGCUUUUGAGGUUGAGUUAGGCCGAAGAUCCAUUCUUUAUCAUGGUAUCAGAGUCAAGCCCAUUCCAAAUCUUUGUUCACCCAUGUUGGGCCCCAUAUUAUAUUUUCCACGCUCCAGUUAACGAGGUCUGGCCGUGCGGGGGAGUGUUUAGUAUCCCACAUCGAAAAAGGGAAGGGCAAUUGGUCUCCUUAUAUGGACUUGGACAAUCCUCCCCUCAUGAAAUAGCUUUUGAGGUUGAGUUAGGCCGAAGAUCCAUUCUUUAUCAGACCAUACCCUUUUUUAUAACUGUGGUGUCCGGGCCAACUUGUGAGCAGCUCGACUAAUUCUAUGGGAUAACUGCUACCUCUCACUGGCAAUAGAUACCAAGAUACUCUGUCCACCAAGAAUUGGACUAAUGGGAAAAAUCACCUAGUGUUUUUUGUCUCCAACGGGAUUUGAACAGGAGACCUCAUGGUUCUCUUCCCACUUCAUUCACCACCAGGCAACAACCUUGGGUGCCACUAGAGGAUACCCUUGGGUGCAUCGAAAUUGAGAAUUUUAUGCGGCAAGCCUCAUAUUAUCGCAUUCUAAUAAAAUUCCAGGCAGACACUUAGUAGGAGGAAGUGUUCAGUUAAACUCCUCAGUCUUAACUAAGUUGCUCAUAGCUUUGUUCGAUGCUUUGCAAUUCCAUGCAGGCAAUAUCUGGAAAAUGUGUGGAAAAUAAGAUGCACUACAAACACUGGUAAUAGAUUUAGAGGUACAUAUCUAUAGAGAUAUAUACAUACUUGAUAUCACACACGCUUGCAGACAGAGCAUACACUUGAGAGAGAGAGAGAGAGAGAGAGAGAGAGAGAUCCUUUUCUAUCUUUUACUUGUACUUGGAGGAAGAGGCAGAGUAGAAGUUCAAGGAAAUAUGUCACAGGAAAAAUAGACAUUAUAUUAUACGCAGAUUCAUGAUUUGCAGUAUGGAAGAUGACACAAGGUCAAUUAAAUUACAUACCACAUUGUUCAAUGCUUGUAAAAAACAUUCCCAUUUUCUCCUAGCAUGUGGCGUACAAGUUGUGAUCAAAUAAUCUGCAAAUUGAGGAAUCGCACACUGGAUUCUAUGUGUCACAAUAUGUAAAGGAUCAUGACGACUUGGAUGACUGUCAACCAUUAUAUAUGAACAUGGAAAGCAGCUCUCUAGCAGUUGAGCCACACGCUUGCUUGUUAUGCGACUUCCAAUCUGUUAUAUAUACCAACUGAAUGAAGUACCUUGUUUGGCCAUAAUUGACUAAAUACAUGUAACAUGAAGCAUAAUUUCAUAUACAUAUAAUUUAACAGAAUAUAUUGCGCCUACUCAUUGAAAUCCAACUUUAGCAAUACUAAUUUCAUCUCUGGGACAUAAUACAACCAAAAUUAAGUUUCCUACAAAAAAACACAGAAUCACUCAUGAACAAAGGGGAGGUUUUCAAGCAAUGCAGGAAAGUUAUCUGCAAAUCAACUACACCACAGCAAAUGCUCAUAUAUUCACUUAAGAAAGUCAGGGGAGCAUGGCAGGAGGUGGGUUUGGAGAAACAGGCCCAAGCCCACAAAAGUUAGCAUAGUCACAAAUCAUGUUAUAACUUAUAUCCAUUCCGCUUUCUGUGAGCACAUUUCAUUACCAAAACAGUAUAUAAUAUGUCUUAAGGAGUCAAGAACCAAUGACGGAAACAAGUUCAUCCCAAACAUAGUGCAUGGAGCUAGAUCAGAGAAACCUACUUAAGCACAUACCUGGAUUAUCACGUCUGCCUUCAUCCAACCCUUGAUGGAGUCUGAAAGCAGCAUAUGAUCUAGAUGAUCGAUAAAAAGAAUUGUAUCUUCAAAUUCAGGAAAAGGAACAAAAUAUUUUCUCAAUCGGAGACCUGACAGAAUGUCAACUACAACAGGCCAUGAAAGGUGUUUAGCAAGGAGAAGAGCAGCCCAUAUGUCAUCCUCCCGGUGUAUAGCACCAAGCAAUAAAAGGCCUCUAUUUGACUUUUUUAUCACUUCCAGAGCGUCAUCCGUAAAGGUAUUGUAAUUGCAUCUAUAAGAAUGUUGAACUUGGAUAUAGCUGGUAAAAGGUACACUGGUUGACAUCCAAGAGUCUAACCCUCUUAAACAAAUAGGGUUCCACGUUCUUGGACUAUUUUCCAAUGGUUCUCGAAAAGGGCAGUUGAUAUGAACUGGACCACAUGGUGAAGAAGUUGCAAUAUGAACAGCAGAGUCGAUGGAGGUAAGCACCAUUCUUGCAGAAAUAUCACCACUGGGCACAGGAAGACUGAAGAAGUGCCUCACAAAUGGACCGAAAUGAUUGACCUGAUUGAUGGCUUGGUUUGCUCCAACAUCUUGCAGCUCUGGAGGUCGAUCUGCUGUAAGUAACAGCAGCGGAACAAAUUCUUGGCUGGCUUCCACGACCUAUGCAUAUCCAUUGAACAGCUUUAAAAUGACUCGAAGCAACAUUGCAACUAAAUAGAGUACUACCUUCAAGAAGGGCAAGCAAUCUCUAAAGAGCAUUGGACUUUUUCCUCAAAUAUAAGUUGAUUCUUUAAAGAGGAACGUAAAAUGAUGCAUAACUAGGACACUUAACUUUCUCAGGCUGUUUUAUAUAAGCUACUUGUUGAAUAUAGCUGUCAUCAAUUAAAAUUUGAAUCAACAUAUGAACAACGAGGAAACAAAAUAGUAUUGAAAACUGCUGAAAUGAAUAUGAAUAUUAAGUCUUAGUACUCACAGCAGGAUGAAGAUUUGAAACUGCUGUGCCUGAUGACGUGAUGACAACAGCAGGUUUAUAGGAACUUUUGGCGUAACCAACGGCAUGAAAUGCAAGUGAGCGUUCAUCGAUGCAUGCAAUACAACUUGUCGUAGGAUGAGUAGAAGCAGCAAUAGCAAGAGGAGAUGACCGUGAUCCUGGAGCUAUACAAAAAUACUACAUGUGGAAGAAUCAGAUACUUGUAGUCCAAUUAAAUAAAAUUUAUGAAGUUACAGAUAGUCUCACCGUCAGACCAAGUCGAGUGCAUUCCUCAAUUAUCAGCGAUGCCCACAAGAUAUUGAUGUUUGCACAAUCUUUCAAGCGGCAAAUAAAUUGUGUGUAAUCAUUCUGUCCAUGCUGAAAAACAGUAACGGCCCAAAAUAGUAUCUCGAAGGUUUUCAGAUGAACAUAACAUCAAAAAGACCAACUAGACAUAAAGCAUCAACUUCUAGAGAAGGAAGACCCCACCAAUAGAGGUUGCAUAUAAUUUUACUAGUCAUGAAUUCACCCAAUUACAUGGAUACAGACAGAAAUGUCACCUAUCAAAAGGGUCCAUAUUGUUCAUAGUGCACACAAACAUAUUUUGAAAUGGAAAACGUAACAUUAAAAUCAACAACAACAUUAUACCCAUUGUAUUCCCACAAAGUGGGGAAACAUAACAUUAAAAUCAGGUCCAUGAAAAGUAUCGCCAAAGCAAACAUUUAGAAUAAUUGUGACAACUCUCAUGAUGCUGAAAAAAGCAGAAAACUUAACCAAAUAUCAGAAAAGCUCCGUCAACAUUAGCUUUAAAGGAACAAUAUAGAAAUAAAGGAGAGACUCACAAACUAAUGACUGACAACUGAAAAAUAGGUCCUUUAGAGGUUUUAAUUGUAAUAGUGUAUCAGUCCUGAGCAUUCCGAUGAAUCAAAGACUACCUCAAUUGACGGAUGAGAGCGGCCUUCAAAUGAAAGGGGAAUACAGAAGUAACCAAAUGGACUAGAAGAACGACACAAGGAAAAUGGCAAAAUCAUCUCCGUUUCGAACUUGAAAAUCACAAAACAUAAAAGAUGGAAGAUACAAAAGAAGCUUUCUAUAUGAAAAAUUAUUUGGGUCACUACAAGAUAGAGAAAUUUUGAAUCAACAUAUUUUAUUUUAUUUUUUUGAAAAAAUAUGUAUGGAAUCUUUGAAUCAACGGAUUUCAGUAAUCAACAACAACAACAACAACAAACUCAGUGUAUUCCCACCUAGUGGGGUCUGGGGGGGUAAGAUGUACGCAGUCCAUACCUCUACCUCUAAAGAAGUAGAAAGGCUGUUUCCGAUAGACCCCCGGCUCAAGGCACGAGAUACCACACAAACACAUAGUAAAGCACAGAAGCAGAUUACAUAACAUAAAUACGGCACCCAUAAGUAAUAUAAAACAGAGGAAAGCAGAGGAAAGCACACAGAUUCGUGAUAAAACAUGGAACACGGAACACGGAAUCAUAACAGGAAUAAAACCCCCACCAAGUAAUCCCUACACUAGCGACCCAAACUGGCCCUAAUCCUCUGCCGAAAUUCGCGCCCUCCAGACCUUCUUAUCUAGGGUCAUGUCCUCGGUGAGCUGUAACUGUUCCAUGUCCCGCCUAAUCACCUCACCCCAGUACUUCUUCGGCCUACCCCUACCCCGCCUAAAACCAUCCAACGCUAGCCUCUCACACCUACGGACCGGGGCAUCCAUGCCCCUCCUCUUCACGUGUCCGAACCAUCUCAAUCGUGCUUCCCGCAUCUUACACGCCACUGAAGUCACACCAACCUUCUCCCGGAUAGUCUCAUUCCGAACUCUAUCCCCUCUAGUCAGCCCACACAUCCAGCGCAAUAUCCGCAUUUCUGCCACCUUCAUUCUUUGGAUGUUAACUGGCCAACACUCCGCUCCAUACAGCAAGGCCGGACGGACUACCACCCUAUAGAAUUUGCCUUUAAGCUUGGGCGGCACCUUCUUAUCACACAGCACCCCCGACGCGAGUUUCCACUUCAUCCAUCCCGCCCCAAUACGGUGCGAGACAUCCUCGUCAAUCUCACCGUUACUCUGGAUCACGGACCCGAGAUACUUGAACUUAUCCCUCUUACAUACCUCCUGUGCUUCCAGCUUCACUACUACCUCGUUCUCCCGCCUCACGUCAUUAAACUUACAUUCCACAUACUCUGUCUUGCUUCUGCUCACCCUGAACCCUUUAGACUCAAGAGUUUGCCUCCACAUCUCUAAUUUGUCAUUUACACCCCCUCGAGUCUCAUCUAUCAGAACUACAUCGUCUGCAAAGAGCAUACACCACGGCACCUCCCCUUGAAUACGCCGCGUCAACACAUCCAUUACUAACGCAAACAAAAAGGGACUAAGAGUAGAUCCCUGAUGCAAUCCUGUCCGGACAGUGAAAUGCUCUGAGUCUCCUCCCGCCGUCCUCACCUGGGUUUUCGCUCCCUCAUACAUAUCCUUAAUUACUCUGAUAUAUGCCUGCGGUACUCCCCUCACCUCCAAGCAUCUCCAAAGCACCUCCCUGGGGACUUUGUCGUAAGCCUUUUCCAGGUCGAUAAACACCAUGUGCAGGUCCUUCUUCCUUUCCCUAUACUGUUCCACCAACCUCCGUACCAGGUGGAUUGCCUCCGUCGUCAAGCGGCCAGGCAUAAAUCCAAACUGGGUUUCCGAAAUAGACACUAUCCGUCUCAGCCUCACCUCGACCACUCUCUCCCAGAUCUUCAUAGAGUGACUCAAUAACUUAAUCCCCUAUAGUUAUUGCAACUCUGAAUGUCCCCCUUAUUCUUAUAGAGAGGGAUCAUGGUACUCUACCUCCAAGCCUCGGGCAUCUUUGCCGUCCUGAAGAUUUCAUUAAACAAUCCAGUCAACCACCUUACACCAGCCUCUCCAACGAACUUCCAAAACUCCACCGGUAUCUCAUCCGGCCCCGUCGCCCUACCCCUUCGCAUCCUGCGAACGGCCUGUCUAACCUCUUCUACCUUAAAACGUCUACAAUAGCUAAAAUCCCGACACUCCUCUGAGUGCUCCAGUUCAAAUAUGUUCAAUGGGUUCAAAUAUGGGAUCUUUGUUCAUGUCAAAU